CAACAACAACAACAAUGCGUGAUCUUCAUCAUCAAUCUUGACCUCGAUAUUCUCAAGAUCAAGAAUCAACUUGUUGAACAUAUUCAAUUGCUCAUCCAAGACUUUGUCUUCACUCAUCUUGAAUGGAUACAAAGCUUGCUUCAAGUAGAGGUGAUUAACCAAAGAUUUGGUCAUAUAUAAUCUCUCGAGUUUGCUCUGCACGCAUUUGUUGUAGUUUUCUCCUUUGAAACCUGCUUCAAUGAUGAUCGAGGACGACGAUGAUCGAGAAAGCACACAGUACAAUCAAAGUGAUGCCCAGAAAAUAGAGUAUGAUCAGUUUCUUGAUUAACAAGAAAACCACAAAGUAAAAGAGAAGAGGGAAGAGAAAAGAAAGAACAAUCAAAGUGGUUUAAAACUGUACUCUUGAUUCAAUUAUACAUUAGGGUACAAUGUUUACAAUUGAAUCUCAACCACCCAAUUUUCUCCCUCUCAUUAGGAUUAUCAGGGAUUGAGGGAGAUGUGAGAACUAGUAUGUUAUUUAUAAGAAAAACAAAUCCAAUAUUUCAACUAAGACACUAAACAAUUGGCCCAACAAGCUGGUUUAAUUCAACAUGCUAAAUUAAACAACAAGCUAACAUAUUUUUACAUGCAAGAACAAACUUCGACUACGACCUGCACAUCUUUGACUACUGUCGAACCAUGAAACUAACCUUAUCGAGACUAGAGUUCGAUCCAAAUACCAUAAAAAUAUUUAAAUAUGCUGCAAAUCACAUCGGAAAAGUCGAAGGGAUGAGUGGUUUGCAUCUAAACCACUUCGGAUACAAUAAUAAACAUAAAGAUUUCUGCUUUCUACAUAAUCUCUAUUUAAUGCAUAAUUUACUUUUCAACCUAAAUUGACCUGCACACCGAUGCUAUAUAUACAAGAAGCAAUGGUGAAGACCAACAACUAACCAUUAGUUAACUCACAACUAACUAACUUCUAAUAAGACUUUAACUAACUGAUCUAUAACACCUGCUAACAAAUUUUAACAAAACUGUUAAAUCUUACAAAGAGAACAUAGACUUGGUCUUGAGCUUAUACUUCUAGCACUUAAAAAUAAAUAAAUAGAAUAAUGUUAACACUUAAAAAUAAAUAAAUAGAAUAAUGCAGGUUUGAAAUUAAUGGCAUAUUCUUAAAAUUAUUUGUCUUAAAAUAAAUAUUCAUUCCUUUUAAUUUUUAAAUAAAAUUUAUUUUUUCUCUUAUAAUUAAUUAUAUUCUCUAAUGAAUAUACUCUCAAUUUACUAUUUCUUUCAUUUACUAUUUUUUUCUGAUAAUUAUACACCAAAAAUCAAUAAAAAUAAUUUAAUAAAAUUAUUAUUCUCUCUUUUAUUUAUCACAUUUUAUAAAUCCAUGUGAAAGUAUAAGGAUUAGCCUUAUUUUAGAAUUGAGGGAGUAUUAUCUAUACUUUACAUAUGUUAUAUCUAAGGUUGAGUGGUUAAGCAAGUAUUUACAAAUCUCAAGACCUUGGAUCAAUCCUUGAAUGACCUCCUUUUACAUUGUCUAAUAAUUCAUUUGCAAAAACAAUACUUAUUUAAAUAAUUGUUUGAGAAUUAAGAGUGUCCAAAUAUAAUGACCAUUUUUAAUUUACCUCAUUUAAAAUUCCAAUCAUGAUUAAAAAUAGUAGUUAAAAAUUUGGUGGUUUCCCCUUACACAGGAAUGCACAAAGCACAUACCUUAGAACCAAAAGAAAAUGAUGGCAUCCACGAAAUGAUGUUCCAUUAUUUUAUCUUUCCAAUAUUAAAUAACAUUAUAACCUCAUCUCAAAGUUUUUGCCACCAUUAUUGCCAAACAUGCUUACUAACAUUCAGUGAAUGGAGUGUCAUAUCCCAAGAUUCUUUAUCUGUCCCCACCUCAUUUCUUUCAUCAACUUGAACUCUCCAACCUCUAUAUAAACCAUUCUCAAUCCCAUUAUUUUUCAUCAGAAUUAAAGCAUAGUUUCCUAUACAACUCUUUAACUAAAUUUCUCUUUAAGCAUUUUCUUUCUAUUCCUAUUAUGGCCACUGUUGAGGUAACUAUAUUUCCUUUAAUUAUAUGUGCUGUUUUCAGUAGGUGCCAACCUAGCCACGCAAAAAUCCGAAAAAAAUGGAGCGGGCCAGGAUGGACAUUUUUUAAGGCGCUGACGGAUCCGUGGACAUUACAUAUUUAAAGUUUAAAAAUUGCAAAAAUUUAUAUUAAUAUUGGCAUGACGGAUAAGGGCGGGAUGAACAUAUUAGAACGUCCAGGUCUAAAACCUUGGCCCGCUCCGAAAAGAUGCGCGUUAAACAGGCUCGGUAGAGCGGGCCCCCUAGUUUUCAUUUUGAUUUUUAACAACUGCUUAAGCAAUUUGUGUUCAUAUUUUGAUCUUUGUAGGUUGUAUCUACAAAGACUGCACUCUCGGACGACACCACCGGGUUAUUAUUGAAAUCUGAUGAGAAAACCACUGAAGAAGUUCUUGAGAGUCCAAUUGCACCAGCAGCAUCAGAAGCAAAAGAAGAAAAAGAAGAAGAAGCUGUAGUAGAAUCUUCAGUUGCAGAAGCAAAAGUACCUUUGAUUGAAUCUGAAACUAAAGAGGUGGUAGAAGAAACUGUGACUGUGAAAGACACCGAGGAGGAAACAAAGAAGGAAGAAGAAACUGAGAAAGAGGAACCUGUUGAGGAGACAAAAGAAAAUGCUGAUUCUGUUGUUGAUGUUAUUCAGGAACCACCAACUGCAGAAUCUGAGACAGUAAAAAAUGUUGUUAAGGAUGAGAAUGUGAUAGAUGAGCCUGAAACUAAGGACAAUGUUAACACAGAAGAAGCACCAAAGGAGAAAGCCGAGGAGAACGUUGAGAAAGAAGAAGCCAUAGAUGAGAAGAAAGAGGAGGAAGUGAUCACCAAAUCUGAGGCAGAAAUAGAGAAGAGUGAGUAAGGAAAAAUGUGAAGUAUAUGAAAACUGUUUAAGUUUCAUGUGUUGUUGUUGAAUGUGUUUUUGCUGUUACUUGUUUGUUAGUGGUGUAAUAAAAUAGCUAUAGUAUUACUACUAGUAGCUAAAUCUAAAUGCAUGUUGCUGUGUGUGUGAUUCUGCAUAAUUGUUUUGUAUGUUAAUCUGUUCAAAUAAAUAUUUAGAUUAUUUGUAUUUCUUUGAGCAAUGAUUUGUAUACUACAUAAAUUCCCUAAAGAUGUAAAGAAGAUAAAUAUGUCAUCACCAAAUGCAAUUAUUUCUUUCUUCUGCACUUGUUUUAUCAAUAGCAUAUUUCUACUUAUUUCUCCACCAAAUCAAAAUUUAAGACCUUAAUAACACAAUUGUCAGGAGUGUCAUUCUGCCAAGCACAUCACGCAUUGAUGUAUAAGUUGCGAGCAUUUUGCUUUAUGAUUUAGCACCCGACGAAGAUGCUGAGGCCGUUCCUAUGGACGCCGAGGCGGGUGGUGAGGCCGAUGACGAGUUAGAUCGAAGAUAACGACACUUUCGGGCACUUACACACCAUACCCGCACCCCAUCUCUCGGCCAUCUCACUUCCUCCUAUGCAUUAUUCACCUGCACCCACCACACAAUAUUAUACUGACACUUUUGCAGGUUCAUCAUCAUGGCACCAGUUGGCUACAUGAUAUGAUUAUAAUGCCUUUAGGAAUGAGAUCGUGGACUUGAGAUACGAGGUCGAGGCAAAGAACGAUGUUGAUUCGGAGCGUGAUCAUCUAUUUUAUGUCAUGCAUCAGCAACAAACCAAUAUGAUGGAUAACUUGCGGACUAUUCAGGCUACAAAGGUUUAGAGUCAGAAUAUGAUACAGACCAUGACCGACCAGAUGCAUAGUAUGAUCCGAGAAAUGGAUGAUAGGGAACACAUAGCUUUUUAGCGAUAGCAGGUGUAUGAUGAGAUGUUGGGCGCUAUUCUUUAUUAUCUGCAGAGUAUGGGUAUCCAUCGCCUCCUGCGCAGGGUCCUCACCAAAGACGAGGCCGAGGUCGAUGACGAUACUGAUUUUCCUCCUGACCAGGUUCUACCUCCCUCUCUUUCUCUUAUUUGCUUACAUGGAGGACAAUGUAAGAUUUAAGUAUGGGGGCAUUUACCGCUUUCAUUUACAUUUACCAUUUUUCAUUAUUAUUGCUAUCUUGUUUUAUUAUGCUUCCUUAGUUUAAUUCUAUGUUAUUGCUUUUUUUCUUUUGUAGGGAAGUGUAUUGAGUCUUUUGCAUGUGAUAUCGAGUCUUUUAUGCGUGGUUUUCUACUUGUUAUUGGAUUCUCUGAUUACUUGAUCCAUUCUGAAAAUUUUUGAAAAUUUUGAAAAGGCUUAGGAAGCUUAGCUUGAUUUGAAAGUAUAUAGCCUUAAAAAGAAGUGAGGUGAGGUUGAGGAGACUUGGGAAAAUCCGACAAAAUCGGUAUUGUCCUAACACCUCAAGCUUCCCAAAUAUGUAUGUUAGUUUAAAUUUCCAUUGAGCCUUAGUCUUGAACUCGUAUUUGGUGGUAAUCCUCGAGUAGUUUUUAUAUCCGGUCAGACACCAUCUAUAAGAACACAUUUGAGUGGGUUGGUUGACGAAUAAUAAGUGAAUAAUCGAUUUCUAAUAAUAAAAAAAAUGAAUAAAAAGGGAAUACUACAUUUACUAAGAUAUGUGACUCUCACCCGGUCAUUUAGCCCAAAGAAGUGGUUGAGCCUUCAAAAGAAAAAAUACAUCUUUAAAAAAGAAAGAAAAUUUGUGGAAAUCUAAUGAGAUGUUUUGAUCAUAAUCACUAACAGACCGUCUGCCAUGUGUGUAAGAUAAAGGGGCUUAAUGUGACUGUCCCGAACGAAAGAGGAGGCAACAAGUAGGAACCUCAGAAUUUGAUAUAAAACGGAACGGUUCGAAUUAGUAUGCAUAGGAGGGAGACUUGUGACUGUGAGAGUGGUUUGUGUUGUCACAAUAUCAUUAGUGUCGACAUUAGUACCUAUCGAGUCAAUUUUAGUUGAACGUAUUUUUAUAGCCACGUAUGAGUAAAUUCAAUGCUUUAUUUUCCUUUUGUCUUUAUACUAUACUGAUGCAUUUCAUUGAUUAAUAUGUUGGCUGACUCGCUUGAGUAGAAGAAAGGGUUCAAGUGGAGGGGAGUUUGAUAACUCGAAAAAAGUAUCGUGAUUUUGAAUUGAUUCACAUGCCAUUUUGAGUAUUUUGGUUGUAAGAGUGUCUGUGCGAGAAAACGAUGCGAAAUAGCAAAAACGGGAGCAAAAUGCAAUUCUGCAUUGUCAUGAUACCCACCUUGCCAACAUGAUGCUCAUCAUGACGUGGCGCCUUGAAGACCAUCAGCACUAAAAGAUAAAAUCAGAAGAAUUUGACUGCUAGCAGGAUGACGGGUAGGUCGUCAAUCAGAUGACGUCCGUCAUCCUUCCAUGACGCCCAAGACGUCAAGACCACGACUCCCGCAAAUCGCCAUGGUGUUGCCGUUCAUAAAUUUUUGGCACAUUUUCAAUUUUAGCUCUAUAAAUAGGUCCAUAAAUUCAAUUUUCACAUCCAUGUUUUUUAGAAUUUAUUUUAGGCAAAAAUUUCUUUUUAUUAAAGAGGUUAUUUUCUCAAACUGAGAGAUAUAUGCACUUUAGGUUAAGAUUCUCCAAAUAUCUAGAUUGUUUUUGGAUCAUUCAAGUUGUAAUCUUGUUCACAUUAACUUUCCAAAAAAAUUAUUCAGAAUUUAUUUUGUAUUAGAAUUGGAGCUUUUUUUAUUCUUUACGUAAUUGUUCAAUGCAUACCAGGUUCUUCUUUUACUGCUUUUAUUAAUUUAAUUUUCAGUAUAGUAUUUGUUAAUAUGUUUAGUUUUAAUUUUCAAUAUAGUAUUUAUUAUGUUUCAAUUAUGCCCGACUAAAUUUUUAGAGUUCAGAAUGCGAGGACCUUUGUCCUGACAAAGAAAUCUCCUUAUACUCCAAAACAAAUCUCACUAUACCCUCUUAUGUUUCAAACUACCACACAUUAAUACCCCCUAUUAUUUGUUAUGUUUCAAUUAUGUUUCAAACUACCACACUAAUACUCCAAAACAAAUCUCCUUAUACCCUCUUAUGUGACAAAGAACCCGACUUAAAGUUUUUUUUUAUGCUUGGUACAUGCAUCAACCUUUCAAUUACACAUAUCAAAAUUAGAAGUCAGGGCUAGAAAAUAUGCUUUCUUAGGAUACAUCCUUUCAUGAGCAUAUAAUUCCCUAUCUAGCACUUAGUACAUCUCUAACCAACAAUUGGAGCUUAUAUCCAACACAUGACUUAUCUCAACCUAUCAAACAAAUUACCACACCUGCCCAAAUACCACAAAACACCAUACCUGAAUCACAUCACAAUACUUCUCAAUCCAUAUCGUCACCAAAUCCCAAAAUUAAUCUUAAGCAUGUAUUGUUGAUGAUAGUGAUCACACAUUUUUAACUACCGAGACAUCUGUACUUCGACACAUACUCACAUGCGAUAAAAAUGAUUAAUUAAUUUAUUUAUUUAAAUAAAAAACAAAGAAAGAAAACUAAUAAAAUGUGUAAAGUGAUAACGAAGUGUAAAACAAGUGGGAGAAAAAUUAAGGUUCCAUUCUAUAUAUUUUAAAUGAAUAUACAUCAUUCAAUUUCAACCACUAGUUUCUUUUCAAAAAACCCGGAUUGGAUAAAUUGGAGCAAUUCUCACUAUAGAAAGAACUAGUUAUUGUGAGUGACAGAAAAAUGGCAUCACUGCUAUCAAACACAAGAAUAAUAAGUGCAAGAAAUGAAGUGUAUGUGGCAGCAAUGCCUCUAAGGGCUACAAAGGGUCCACCCCAAUUGCUUAUGUCUGCUGCCUAUUCCCUUAAUUUAUGGGAUUUUCAGCAUCUCAUGGUUAUCCUCAAACCUUCAUCCUCUUCACAGGUUCUGGUUUUUGAUUUUCAACCAAAAGAUCCUGAAAAUAUAUAUGUAGCCCUAUCAGCUUUAUUUGGAAGAGCUGUGCCAGGUGAGUGAGAUUUGGAAUUUAUUUAUGAUUCCUUCCAUAAAUGUUUUCACUUUCUAUAUUUAAAUCUCCAUUUCUGUUCAUAUUCUCAGGAGCUGUUCUUGUGAGGAAAUUAAACAAGCUGCCGCGAAGCAAAUGCUGGUUGGUUGGAUAUGCAGAAACAGAUGCUGUGGAAAUAGCAAAUGAAUUCAACAGAAAAUAUGAAACAGAUUUGAGAAUCGGUCUUAAUGAUUGUCGCGAUUAUACAAAUGGUAAUAAGUUAUUUAAAUAAUGAACCUUAUGCAGCAUUCAUGUGUGUUUAUGUGUUAUCCCUUAUCACUGUAUCAAUUACUCAUGCAAUAUUGCAUUAUGAAGGUUUGAUCGGGGAACUCACCGGCGAAAAAGAUGUGCUCAAACGUUUGAGAAGCCUUGGUGGAUAGAAGUACUAUGGUGCUAAUUCAUAGGGACACAAAUGGUUGGAUGAACAUCUUCUGUAUUGAAGAAUGAAAUGAGUCAAUAAAAGUUAGUUAGCAUGGUUUGGUUAGUUACAAAUUCUGUUACAGUCAGGAAGUAAAGUAGUUAUGACAGUUAUUUGGCCUUAAAGUUGCAAUCACAUAGUGCAUACUUACAGUAUAAGUGAUAGGGGUUAGGGAACUCAAUUCUCAUAGACCAUUACCUAUGUGCACAUGAAUUCAACAAUGUAGAUGUGCUUCUCAAUAACUUGCUCAAUAUUACAGACUUGAAUUGAAUGAUACUUUCUCUGAUGUGAAGACUCAUGUAUUUCUCAUGGAUCCUCUAACUUUGAUUAACCACAUUCAUUCUUUUGUUAUUCAAGAAGAAAGCAACCGCAAAAAUAUGAUUAAAAUUGAAGACAAUUCUAUUUUGGUUAAUGUUACACAAAGACCUGAUUUCAAUCACAGAAAACUUUCAUAAGAAUUCAAAUAGGGUAUGCACUUUCUUUCAUAAUAAUAGUCAUACCAUUGAUUUCUGCUAUCAAAAAUAUAGACAACAGGAACAAACCUUAUGUGAAUAUGACUCAUAUGGAUAACAUUGAAGCUCGUCAACAAGUUGAUGGAAUUGAGGUGGCUUCUUCUGUAAAGCAUCAAUAUUCCUAUUUCUCAAGCUUAAUAUGAUCAACUUGUGAACUUGCUCAAACAAGAAAACUUAACAAACUCAGAACAGACUUCAUCCCCAAACCAAAUUUCAACAAGUCAUUCACUUAUAGAAUCCACAUCAAGUAUAUUUUGUAAUAGCCUUACUAAACCUGCUAGACAAAAUAAUUAUUGGAUCUCGGACAUUGAAGCCAACGAUCAUAUGUGUGUUCAUCUUUGCCUUUAUUUAGUUCCUACUACAAAAUUAAACUUGUAUAGGUAAGUCUCUAAUGAAAAUUUUGUUCUUCUCAAAUAUGGUGGUAACAUCAAUUUCUCGAAGAGUAUGAUUGGUUUCUUAAUUAACAAGAAAAUCAUAAAGUAAAAGAAAAGAGAGAAGAAGAAGAUAAAGACAAUUUAUAGUGGUAUAAAAACUGGAUUCUUAAUUCAAUUAUACAUUAGGGAAUAAUAUUUAUAAUUGAAUCUCAACCACACUACUUUCUCCCUCUAAUUAGAAUUAUAGGGAUUGAUGGAAGAACUGAUCACUAGUAUGUUAUUUAUAAGAAAAUUAAACUCUAACUUUCAACUAACAUAAUUGGUCCAACAGACCGACCCAAUUCAACAUGUUAACUUAAACAACAAGCUAACAUAUUUCGACAGAUACUGUUGAAAAAUAUAUUAUUUUCGAUUUUAUUAUUGGCUCUAAUAUUACCUUUAUUUUUCUUUAUUCUCCAUUAAGGAGAAAAUAAAUUGUAAUAAUUGUAUCCUCACUAUAUAAACCAGCCUAAGGCUAACGAAUAAAAUAUAACAACUUUUACCUAUUUUUUCCAAUAGGGUAUCAAGACCACUGGGUUAGGGGUUACCGUAAAGUUUUCCUCAACCUAUUGUUAUUGAGUUAAGAGCACUGGGUUAUGGGUUACCGUAAAACUUUCUUCAACCUAUUUUUGUUGGAUUAGGGAUUACCAUAAAACUUUCCUCGGCAUAUUUUUGUUCGACUCGCUUUCUUACCCGACCCGAUUCACAUACCCGUUUAGCCUUCUAUGGAGAAUAACAAAAACAGGUGAUCUUCCCCCAUCACAUGUCCACACUGGAUCCAACCAUGACGAACAACUGCAGCAUGAGUCAAGUGUCUUCCGCGGAAACGGCCUACGAACUAGGAACCUUGACGAGGGAAGAAGAUCAGACAAAGUUCCUUGGUGUGAUCACUGCAAACACGAAUGACAUACAUGUGAAACUUGUUGAAAGCUCAAAGACAAACCUCCUAACUGGAAGAAGAAAAGUGGUCGUGCAUUUCAGGCUAGUAAUUCUGAUCAAGGGCAGCAACCUCUUCCGUCUCAGUUUUCAUUCACUACGGAGCACCUAGACAGACUGUACAAAUUCCUCGAGUCUCCAGCCCAUUCUUGCUCUAUAGCAACAAAAGGUAAUUCUAUAUUUCUUAGUGUCAGUCUCAGUCAUACUUGCAUAGUAGAUUCAGGUGCCUCCGAUCACAUGACAUAUGAAUCUACUUUGUUCUCUUCAUAUAGUCCAUGUGCAGGUAAUCAAAAAAUAAAAAUCGCAGAUGGCUCUUUUUCAGUCAUUGCAGGUAAAGGGUCGGUUGUGUUUUCUCCAAUGUUAACUCUUAAAAAUGUCCUUCAUGUUCCAAAUUUAUCUUGUAAUUUAAUAUCCGUCAGUAAAUUAGCCCAAGAUAUAAAUUGUCAAACUAUUUUUUUCCGAUCUCACUGUGUAUUUCAGGAUUUGAACUCGGGGAAGAUGAUUGGCAGUGCUAAGGAGAAUUGAGGACUCUACUACCUUGACAUUGGAUUUGCAUCACAACUACCAUAAAAAACAAUAAGUUCCUGUUUUGUGUUUUUUUUCUGUUUUGAAUAAUAAAGAUAACAACAAUAUGAUAUGGCAUUUAAGCAUGGACGGAGGUAGUAAGAAGAAAGGGUGGGCUCAUGCCCCCACCACGUUCAUCAUUGAUUAAUAUUUAAUAAUAUAAUUAAUAUAUUAAUAUAUUUAAUAUACUAAAAAUUAGGAAGAAAAGUUAAUAAUUUCCCCACUUGAUAAAAUGAUACGGAGUAUCACACACAUCCAUCUGCAUUUAAAAUAAAAUUAAUUCUUUAAAUAAAAUUAAAAAAAUUUAUUUCUUUUCAUGUUCCUAUUAAUUCUCUUUUACUGUUUCCAAAUAGAAACAAACUGAUGGGAAAUUCAACAACAAAUAACAAUAACAACUCUAACAGAGCAAUAUGCAGCGGAUAAUCAAUUUCCCAAACUUGCAAGAAUCUGUGAGGAGCAACAACAAAUAAUCACGGCAACUAAAAUCAAGAGCAAUAUGCAGCGGAUAAUCAAUUUCCCAAACUUGCAAGAAUCUGUGAGGAGCAACAACAAAUAAUCACGGCAACUAAAAUCACCACCACAAGGGACACAAUAAUUUUUAACGUGGAAAAAUCUUCUCAAUGUGAGAAGUAAACAACCACGGGACCAAGCUAGUAAUAGAGCUCCACUAUGAUCAAAAUAUGGGUACAAGAGAGUUUUAAAUAUGGCACAAAUUCGUGCUCAAUAACCAACCAAAAACAGCAAGGUAACCAGUAUAACAAUCAGCCAAAACAAUGAGAAAACAAGCAUGAAAUUGAGAACAAAGUUCAGCAGAAAAACCAAAAAAUACUGCUACUGUCCGAGCUCGAUUUCUCCCACCUCAGACCUCUGAUCGAUGAUCCAACCGGUCAGAUUGAAGUACCAUGAGUCACGAACCUGCUGUCCAAAUUUCAUCCCGAUUCGACGGUGAAUGAAGGAGAAAUCGCGAAUCUAGUGCAGCUGCUCUGUUUUAUGCGAAAAUGGGUUUUGCUCUUCCUCUCUCACUUUUCUCUUGCCUCACUCUUUCAAUUCAGCUCUCUCACUCUCACUAAUCUGACCUCUCUCCACUUGGUUAAGUGAGACACAUGGGCUUGUACAUAUUGGGUCUUUCUCCACAUAGGAAGGGAGCCUAAAACCCAACAUAUCUCCCCCUCACAACUAUGUGGAGGUGACCGCCAAACCGGCGAUCUCACAGCAAGUUUCAAACUUGUUUCUCGGUAAUGCCUUGGUCAUCAUAUCAGCAUCAUUAUCAUCUGUAUGAACCUUGGCCAAUUCCAACAACCCAACAUCCAAAGCAUCACGUAUCCAAUGAUACCUAACAUCAAUGUGCUUGGACCUAGAAUGAAAAGUUGAAUUCUUACCAAGAUGAAUUGCACCUUGACUAUCACAAAAUAGCAAGUACUUAUCUUGAACAAAACCAAGCUCCUACAAGAAUUUCUUCAACCAUAACAAUUCCUUGCGUGCUUCUGUAAUGGCAAUGAACUCUGCCUCAGUAGUGGACAAUGCAACACACAUCUGCAAUCUGGAUUGCCAUGCCACAGCUCCCCCUGCAAACUUAAUCAAGUAGCCUGAAGUAGACUUUCUGGAAUCAAUGUCUCCAGUCAUAUCAGAAUCAGUAUAUCCCACAAGAGUAGGCUUAUCACCUCCAAAACAAAGCCUCAAACUGGUAGUAUCACGAAGAUACCUCAAAAUCCAUUUCACAGCAUUCCAAUGCUCUUUACCUGGAUUAGACAGAAAUCUACUAACUGUACCAACAACAUGUGCAAUAUCAAGCCUUGUACACACCAUUGCAUACAUUAAACUACCCACAACAGAUGCAUAAGGAACUCGUUGCAUAUUUGAUUUUUCAGCUUCAUUGGAAGGACUCUGACUAAUACUCAAUUUAAAAUGAGUAGCAAGAGGAGUACUUACAGCCUUAGCAUUUUCCAUCUGGAACCUCUGUAACACUCUUUCAACAUAGUGUUCUUGUGACAACCAAAGUUUCUUCUUGUUCCUGUCACGCAUGAUUCUUAUACCAAGAAUCUGCUUAGCAGCUCUCAUGUCUUUCAUGGCAAAUGACUCGCCAAUUGCUUCUUCAACCUGUCAAUCAUGGAAAUAUUUUUCCCAACAAUAAGCAUGUCAUCAACAUACAAUAACAGGAUAAUGAAAUCAUCAUCAGCAAACUUUUUAACAAAGCACAUUAUCAGAAGUAGUCUUCUUGUAGCCUUGCUCCACACAUAACUGACUCAAACUUCUAGUACCACCGACGCGGGCCUGCUUCAAACAAUAUAGACUCUUUCUCAGCCUACACACAUAGUUCCUUGCUUUAACCAGAAAGCCUUCAGGUUGCUUCAUGUAAAUCUCUUCCUCCAAGUCACCAUGAAGGAAGCGGUUUUGACAUCCAUUUGCUCUACCUCCAAAUUAAGAGUAGCAGCCAAACUCAACACGGUUCUAAUGGAUGACAUCUUCACCACAGGAGAAAAAAUCUCAUUGAAAUCAACACCCUUUCUCUGUCUGAAACCUUUCACAACCAAUCUCGCUUUAUACCUUGGAGAUGUAGAAGUGCUUUCUUGCUUCACCCUGAAGAUCCACCUGUUUUCUAAAGCCUUCUUGCCCUUAGGCAAUUUCACCAAAUCAAAAGUGUGAUUAUCAUGCAAAGACUUCAUUUCAUCUUGCAUAGCAUCCAGCGACUUCUUCUUUUCAUCACUCUCUAUGGCUUCAUCAUAACAUUCAGGUUCUCCUUCAUCAGUCAAGGUAACAUAUUCAUCAGAAGGAUACCUGGUGGGUGGUUUCCUCUGCCUAGUAGACCUCCAAACUUGAGCUUGAGGGAGUUCAGGAGCAUCACCAAGAUCCUCAUCUUGUGACAUUUCAUGUUCCUCUUCAUCAUCAUCAUUAGGAACAUCAAAAUCAUCUCCAAGGUGCUGAUCACCAACAUCAUCAUGUUGCUCAUCAUUCUGAACAUUAUUUUCAGCAGUAUCCAGAUCAUGUAUAGGCAUCCGAACUGGAUCAACAUCAGACAAACCAUUAUCAAUCUCAGGUGUAGUCUAAUGUAUAGGCAUCCGAACUGGAUCAACAUCAGACAAACCAUUAUCAAUCUCAGGUGUAGUCUUCUCCAUCUUAUCAAUGUCUUCAAUGGUUUGGUCUUCCAUGAACUUCACAUCACGGCUUCUAACAGCUUUCUUCUCAACUAGAUCAUACAUCUUGUACCCAAAUUCAUCCUGACCAUAACCGAUAAAGAUGCAAUGUCUUGUCUUCGCAUCCAACUUGGAUCUCUCAUCCUUUGGAACAUUCACAUAUGCUUUGCAACCGAAGACACGCAAAUGAUCAUACCUGACAUUCUUGCCAAACCAAAUCUUGUCUGGCACCUCAGCAUUCAAAGCAACUGCAGGACUCAGAUUAAUAACAUGCACUGCCAUGUACAAUGCUUCACCCCAGAAAUGCUUAGGCAAGUUUGCUUCAGAAAGCAUACACCUAACUCUUUCAAUCAAUGUCAUGUUCAUUCUCUCUGCUAAACCAUUCAGCUGAGGAGUUUUAGGAUGAGUCUUUUCAUGUCUGAUAUCGUGCUGCUUCCAAUAAACAUCAAAUGGUCCACAAUACUCACCACCAUUGUCAGUACGAAUGCAUUUCAGCUUCUUGCCUGACUGUCUCUCCACCAUAAUAUGGAACUCUUUGAAUUUCUCCAGAACUUGGUCUUUUGUCUUCAAAGCAUAGACCCAAAGCUUCCUGGAACAAUCAUCAAUAAAAGUAACAAAAUAAAGUGCACCACUAAAUGACUUUACCUUCAACGGGCCACAAACAUCAGAAUGCACCAAUUCAAGCAACUCUGACUUCCUUGAGGGAGGAUGUUUCUUGAAGGAUACUCUAGUCUGCUUACCAUCCAUGCAAUGAGAACAUUUCUCCAACUCUGCACUCUUUAAUCCCGGAAGUACAUCCUUUUUAGCUAAACAAUUCAGCCCCUUUUCACUGAUAUGACUAAGCCUACGGUGCCACAAAGAAGCCUCCAUAUCCAUGGCAUUCACACUGUCUUUAGCAACCAAUGCUUUAGUCCAAUACAGUUUAUUAAUUUUCUCCCCUCUGGCCACAACUAAGUUACCUCUGGUGAGUUUCCAUUUUCCUGAACCAAAGUGAUUAUGAUAACCACCAUCAUUAAGCAUCUGCAUAGAUAUCAAAUUAAAGCGAACAUCUGGAGCAUGUUUGACUCCUCUAAGCAACAACUGCACUCUCAUGUUGGUCUGCAAACAAACAUCACCAAUACCAACUACCUUGGACACACCAUCAUUACCCACCUUCAACACUCCAAAGUCACCAGAAGUGUAAGAUGUGAAGAACUCCUUUCUUGGUGUAACAUGCAGUGUAGCACCACUAUCAAUAAUCCACAUGCUCUCAUCUGAUACAAGAUUUACUGAAUCAUAGUCAUGGAGAAUAAUCAGAUCAUCACAAGUAGCAGUAGUAACACGGUCAUAAUCAUCAUGAUUCUUAUCUCUCUACUUACUGUUAUUAUUUUUUCUCUCCCUUUUCCAUAUGAAACAGUUCCUUUGUAUAUGCCCCAUUUUGUGACAAUAAUUGCACUCCACAUUCUUGUAUCUGGACUUUGACUUGCUUCUGUUGUUCUCUCUACUCGCACUUCUGCUAUUCUGUCUGUUCCCUUUCGGUUCCUUUCUUUGACUUCGGCCCUGUUCUCAGUGACAAGUACCUCGGAAUGAGAUGAAGUACCUUGUGCCUUCCUUCUCAUCUCCUCAUUAAGAACACUUCCCUUUACACUUUGCAAAGAGACAACACCAUUAGAAGCUGAGUUUGUAAUUGAAACCCAAAAAUUUUCCCAAGAAUCUGGUAGAGCAUUCAGUAGCCAUAAUCCCAACACUUCAUUAUCAAAUUUGAUACCCAUACCUAACAAUUGAUCUAGGAGCCCUUGAAAAUCAUUUAAGUGAUCUGAAAUAGAAGCCCCCUCCUUGUACCUCAAAUUCAUCAAGGAAUUCAACAAAUACAACUUAUUAUUCCCUGAUUUAGAAGCAUACAAAGAUUCAAUCUUCUUCCACAAGGAUCUUGCAUGUUCCUCAUUAGCAAUGUGAUAUAAACAUUGUCUUCUACAUAUUCCGAAUAAAACCACAAACCUGCUGAUGUUCAAAACUCCAAUCCUCAUCAGUCUUGGAUUCGGCUUCUCAAACACAGGAAGAUGCAAAUUCUUCACAAAUAACAUAUCCUUCAUUUUUCCCUUCCACAAGUGAUAAUUAGAGCCAUUCAAACAGAUCAUUCUAUUUGUAUUUGCCUCCAUCAUUCAAACAAGUCAAAACAUCCCCUUAACCAAAGAGCUCUGAUGCCACUCUGAUGGGAAAUUCAACAACAAAUAACAUAAACAACUCUAACAGAGCAAUAUGCAGCGGAUAAUCAAUUUCUCAAACUUGCAAGAAUCUUGUGAGGAGCAACAACAAAUAAUCACGGCAACUAAAAUCACCACCACAAGGGACACAAUAAUUUUUAACGUGGAAAAACCUUUUCAAUGUGAGAAGUAAACUAACCACGGACCCAAGCCAGUAAUAGAGCUCCACUAUGAUCAAAAUAUGGGUACAAGAGAGUUUUAAAUAUGGCACAAAUUCGUGCUCAGUAACCAGCCAAAAACAGCAAGAUAACCAGCAUAACAAUCAGCCAAAAUAAUGAGAAAAUAAGCAUGAAAUUGAGAACAAAGUUCAGCAGAAAAACCAUAAAAUACUGCUACUGUCCGAGCUCAAUUUCUCCCACCUCAGACCUCUGAUCGAUGAUCCAACCGGUCAGAUUGAAGUACCAUGAGUCACGAACCUGCUGUCCAAAUUUCAGCCCGAUUCGACGGUGAACGAAGGAGGAAUCGCGAAUCUAGUGCAGCUGCUCUAUUUUAUGCGAAAAUGGGUUUUGCUCUUCCUCUCUCACUUUUCUCUUGUCUCACUCUUUCAAUUCAACUCUCUCACUCUCACUAAUCUGACCUCUCUCCACUUGGUUAAGUGAGACACAUGGGCUUGCACAUAUUGAGUCUUUCUCCACAUAGGAAGGGAACCCAAAACCCAACACAAACCACUUUUCAUAUUCUUCUUUCUCCCACUCCUUAUUCUCUCACUACAAAAGUGUCUCUCUGUUUCUAGCUUCUUCUCCAUUGUUGUACUUUUAAAAGGUCAAUUUUUUAAUUUUAAUCUUUAUAAAUUUAUAAUUUAUUUUUAUUAUUGUAAUAAGAGUAAAAAAUAUAUUAUUACUUUCUUGAGCCUGAGAUUGUGUUAAUGGCAGAAAAUUUAUUUUUAGAGUUUUGUAGUGUUUGUUUGAAAUUAUUGUGUUUGUAUCAAUUUUAUAGUAUUGUUAUGAAUUUUUUGAAUAUGAUUUUAAUUGUGAUUUUUUGUUUUGUUUUUAGUAAUAAACAAUGGAAAAAUAUUUCAAAAUAAAAUCAAUAGAGGAAUCAUCAACUCCUAAUCCUCAAACGCCUAAUGAACGUCGAAGCCCAAAACUGGGUCCUCCCAUGAAAAAAAAGGUUUUUGGAGUUUGAAUUGGAAAAACUUUCGAACGAUCCCGGUUUAAGGCCAAAAAUGUCAGAUUAUCAUCCAAGUGAUAUAGAUGAAAUUAGAAGAUAUUAUUUGCAAAAGGGUCCUCGUCAACCAAAAGAAAUUACUUUUUCACAAAGAAAAUUUUGACCCCGUUACUCAAAAUUUCUGGCUCCGUCCUUGCAUUUAAGAUUAGGUCAUCCUAGUUUUCGUUACUUAAAACACUUGUUUCCUAAAUUAUUUCACAAUAAAAACUUAUUCGUUUAAAUGUGAAGCAUGUGAAUUUGCAAAGCAUCAUUAUUCCCAAUUUUCAAUACAGCCUUAUAAACCAUCAAAACCUUUUUCCAUUAUUCAUAGUGAUGUUUGGGGCCCUAACCGUACAAGUACACUCUCUCUCAAAAAAUGGUUUAUCACCUUUAUAGAUGAGCAUACAAGAGUAUGUUGGGUGUACUUGUUAAAGGGAAAAUCAAAUGUUUGUCAGGUUGUAAAGAAUUGUUUUUCAAAGAUGCAGAACCAAUUUCAAACAAAUAUCCAAGUCUUUAGAAGUGAUAAUGGUAAAGAAUAUUUUAACACUAUCCUGGGUGAUUUUUUUCUAAAAAAUGGGAUUGUACAUCAAAGUUCUUGUCCUAAUACUCCUCAACAAAAUGGAGUGGCCGAAAGGAAAAAUAGACAUUUACUAGAGGUUGCUAGAGUUCUACUUUUUUCAAAUAAAGUACCAAAUUAUUUAUGGGACGAAGUUGUUUUAACAGCUGCGUAUUUAAUUAACAGAAUGUCCUCCAAAAUUCUCAAUUUUCAAACUCCUAUUAAUGUCUUCAAAGAAUGUUUUCCUAGUACUCGUGUUUUAACUGAUUUGACUUUAAAAAUCUUUGGUUGCACAAUCUUUGUUCAUGAACAUAAAAAUGUUGGAAAACUUGAUCCACGUGCUAUAAAAUGUGUUUUUGUUGGAUACUCCCUAACCCAAAAAGGAUAUAAAUGUUUUGAUCCAAAAAAUAAGAAAAUGUUUAUCACUAUGGAUGUUACAUUCUUUGAAAAUAAACCUUUCUUUUAUGAUACUCAUCUUCAAGGGGGGAGAUAAACGGAGACUCGUUUAAAAUUGAGGACAUGAGUUUUUUAAAUAACCUAUCUUUGCCAGUAUCACAAAAUUCUAAGAUUUUUACACCUGCACCAACAGAAAAUGGCCAUGAUUCUUUAUUUGAUCCUACUCUUGUUAUAAGUAAGGAACCUUGUGAAUCUGAGUCUAUAUUUUCUCUUAUAGAAAAUAAUGAGAAUCCUGAAAACAAUUAUAAUGAUGAUCUAAUUGAAAUGCCAUAAAAUAAUGAGUCAUUUCAACAAAACAAAUUUGAAUUAGGAAACAGGAAUUGGAAAGGAAAGGUUUUUGUGAAAAAGCAUCAUAAAGGAAAGGACCAGUGGAGGGAAGUUGUAGAAAUUCUAAAAAGUGUACAGGUUGUUCUAGAAAUUCCAAAGUGGAGGGAAGUUGUACUUGAGGAGAUGAAAGCUCUUGAAAAGAAUAAAACUUGGAGUGUUACGUCACUACCAGAUGGCAAGAAGACAGUUGGAUGCAAAUGGGUGUUUACUGUGAAGUAUAAUUCAGAUGGAUCAAUUGAAAGGUACAAGGCUCGCUUGGUGGCUAAAGGCUUUACUCAUACCUAUGGUAUAGAUUACUCAGAGACAUUUGCUCCCGUUGCAAAAUUGAACAUUGUCAGAAUUUUUUUGUCUCUUGUUGCUAACAUGGAUUAGCCUUUGCAUCAGUUAGAUGUUAAGAAUGCAUUUCUUAAUGGCGAUCUAGAAGAAUAAGUAUAUAUGGACAUUCCUCCUGGCUUUGAAAACAAAGUUGGAUCAAAUGUGUGCAAACUAAAUAAGUCUUUGUAUGGAUUAAAGCAGUCCUCUAGACCUUGGUUUGAAAAGUUCACCCAGUCCAUGAAGAAACAAGGGUACAUCCAAGGACGGGCUGAUCAUACCUUGUUCACAAAAUUCUCCCACGAUGGAAAAGUUAUUGUCCUGAUUGUUUUUGUUGAUGAUAUUGUCCUUACUGGAGACGAUACAGCGGAAAUGACAAGAGUAAAAGAGAAAUUGGCAGUAGACUUUGAAAUCAAGGACCUGAGAUUCAUGAGAUAUUUUCUAGGUAUGGAGGUUGCUCGGUCAAAAAAUGUAUUGUGGCUUUACAACAAAAAAACAUUAUAAACUUGUUGAAAGAAACAGGAAUGAGUGGAUGUCGUUCUGUAGAUACCCAUAUGGAUCCUAAUGCUAAACUUUGGGGAGAAGGUAAUGUUUUUGUUGAUACUGGGAGAUAUCAGAGAUUGAUUGGGAAACUGAUUUAUUUGUCACACACUCGACCUGAUAUUGCUUUCUCAGUUAGUGUAGUGAGUCAGUUUAUGCAUUCUCCUUUCGAGGAACAUCUUGAGGCAGUCUAUAGGAUACUGAGUUAUUUGAAGGGAAAUCCUAGAAAAGGAUUAUUUUUUAAGAAGACUAGUGAAAGAAAUGUGUCUAUCUUCACCGAUGUCGAUUGGGCAGGUUCAGUCAUAGAUAGAAGAUCAACCUCUGGAUAUUGUACCUAUGUUUAGGGUAAUCUUGUGACAUGGAGGCGCAAGAAACAAGGAUUUGUAGCAAGGAGUAGUGCAGAGGCCGAGUUUAGAGCUAUGUCUCAAGGUAUUUGUGAAGGAUUAUGGAUCCUUAGAGUCCUAGAAGAACUCAAGAUGAAAAUUGAGCUUCCAUUGAAAUUGUACUCUGAUAGUAAAGUUGUUAUUAGCAUAGCUCAUAAUCCAGUUCAAUAUGACAGAACCAAGCAUAUCGAGAUUGAUCGACACUUCAUAAAGGACAAGUUAGACGCGGGAAUCAUAUGUCUACCCUUCGUGACUUCAAGUCAACAAACUGCGGAUAUCCUAACCAAAAGUUUGACAAGACCUACUUUUGAGUAUUUGAUACACAAGUUGGGCAUGAUAGAUAUAUAUGCACCAACUUGAGGGGGGGUGUUGGAAAAUAUAUUAUUUUCGGUUUUAUUAUUGGCUUUAAUACUACCUUUAUUUUUCUUUAUUCUCCAUUAAGGAGAAAAUCAAUUGUAAUAAUUGUAUCCUCAUUAUAUAAACCAUCUUAAGGCUGGUGAAUAAAAUAUAACAGAUUUUACCUAUUUUUUUCCAAUAGCUACACUAGCUCUUUGACUUCGACAGAGCUCUUCGACUUCAACUGAAUUUGCUACAACACUAGCUUAUAACCCAUAAGCUGCAAAUAUUCACCUUGGAACGAUUUUUGAACCAUGAAACCAACUAGCUGUCAUCAUGCAGUCCUAUCAGCGACAUACAGUGGAAAAACUUGCAACUUGGUAAUGUCUUGGUGAUCAUAUCAACAACAUUGUCAUCAGUAGAAACUUUUAGCAUUUGGACUUCUCCACACUCGAUUAUCUCUCUGACGAAAUGUAGCCUCACAUCAAUGUGCUUGGUUCACUCAUGAUAGGAUGAAUUCUUCGACGUGUGUAUUACACUUUGACUAUCAAGUUUAACAAUGAUUGAUUGAACUUGAAGUUUGAGCUCCUUAGCAAAAACUUCAAGCCACAAUGCUUCUUUCAUAUCAUUGGUGAGGUAAAUAUACUUCGCUUCAAUGGUUAAUAAUGUAACAACCUUAUGAAGUGUUGCUUUCCAACUGAUUGUUGUGCCAAAUAUAGUGAACAUGUAUUCAGAAAUAGAUUUUCUAGAAUCCAUACAAUCUGCAUAAUCAGAGUUGACAAAUCCUUUGAUUUUGACUUUGCUAUCAUCACCAUAGGCUCCACCAUAAAUCAGGACUCUGCUCAGAGACCCAUUUAUGUACCUUAGAAUCCACUUUAAUGCUUGUCAGUGCGCCUUCUCAGGAUUGGCCAUAUACCUGCUUACAAGGAUCAUUUCAUAUGCUAUGUCUAGCCUUGUACAUACCAUAACAUACAUCAAAGAACCUAUUAUACUAGCAUAUGGAAUACUAUUCAUAUAGGCUCUUUCGAUUUCAGUACUAGGACUUUGAGUCGUACUUAACUUGAAUUGAGGAUUAGUCGGUGUUACAACAGGUUUUGAAUUCGACAUACCAACCUUAUCGAGAAUCUCCUUCAGGUAUGUCUCUUGAGAUAAGCAUAAUCUUGACUUCUUUCUAUCUCUCUGGAUGUCAAUCCCAAUAAUCCUGGAGGUAGCUCCUAGAUCUUUUAUGUCGAACUCCUUAUUGAGUCAUGCGUUCACCUUUACCACAAUCUCAACACUGUUUCUUGUUAUGCGGAUGUUAUCCACAUAAAGCAACAUAAUUUUAAGUAAACACAGUGGUCAAAUUGGAUCCUAGUGAAACCUAUGUGUGCCAUGAAUUUGUUAAAUCUCCUAUUCCAUUGUCGAGGAGAUUGUUUCAGGCCAUAUAACGACAUAUUCAACUUACACACAUAAUCUUCCUUUCCUUUUUUUGCAUGCUCUUCAGGUUGCCUCAUCAUAAUUGUUUCAUCUAGAUCACCAUACAAGAAAUGAGUAUUCACAACCAUCCAUUCUAAUUCUAGGUCAAACUUUUCCACCAUGGCUAACAAUGUUCUGAUGGAUCUAUGCUUUACAACAAUUGAGAACACAUCAUUAAAGUCGACUCCUUCUUUCUGAGUGAACCCACUAGAAACCAAUAUUUCCUUAAAUCACUUCGAAAUCACUCAUUUGAUUCCUUCUUUAACCUUAAAGUUCUACUUACAACUGACUAACUUGGCCCUUGCAGGUUUCUCGAUCAGCUCUUAAGUGUUAUUAUCAUGAAGAGAUUCCAUAUCAUCAUCCAUGGCUUUCAUCCAUUAAGUCCUAUUUCAAAUCCUCAUAGCUUCAUUGUAGUCUCUUGGUUCUUCAUCCAGAACCUAAUUUGUAGAUAUUAAGGCAUAAGUUAUGACAUCUGCAUAACCAAGUCUCUGAGGUGGCUUGAAGACUCUUCUCGAUUUGUCUCUUGCCAGCCGAUAGUCAUUUUCAGUCUCUUCAUCUUCAUCAACAAAUUGGACUUGUUCUGUGACUUCAUCUAGGUUAUGCAAUUCAACAUAACUAUGCUCCACAUCAACAAGAAUCUCUUCUUGUUCUAUCUCUUCUCCAGAGAUCUUUGUACUUCCACCAACGUGAUCAAUUUUCUUGAAAUCCAUCUCAACUUAAUUGAAAACUACAUCUCAAUUUUUGAUACACCUCAUAUGACCUGGCUCUAGGCACCACAACCUAUAAGAUUUGACUCCUUUAGAGUAUCCAAGGAAGAUACAUCUCAAAGCUCUAGGUUUGACAUUGUAUUGCCUAAUGUGAGCACAUGCUACACAACCAAAUUAGAUGGAUGCCUCGACUAGAUUUCUUCAGGUGUCUUCAUCCCCAAGGAAGUCGAGGGACACCUAUCUAUCAAGUAUGCUACUGUUGUAGCCGCCUCAGCCCAAAACACAUUCUUUGAUUAAACCUUUCAGCCAAACCAUUUUGUUGGGGACUGCAUGCACUAGUUUUGUGAUUUGCAAUGAUAUACGCGUCAUAACUGUCGAAAGCCUCAUUACAAAAUUUAAGACCAUUGUCAGUCCUCAACCUCUUAACCUUCCUGCCAGUUUGGUUUUCGAUCAGAGUCUUCCAACUUCUGAAAUUUUUAAAAGUUUCAUCCUUAGUCUUCUAUAUGAAUACCAAUAACUUUAUAGAAUAAUCAUCAACUAUGGAUAGAAAAUACUUUUCACCUGAGUGUGAAGGAUUCAUUGCAGACCUCCAAAGAAAUGUAGUGACUACACAACAUGGCCUUGUCUUUUCCUUCAUUUUUUCCACGAAUUUUAUAGCUUACCUGGACAACAAAACUCAUGACUGCAUCAAUCUCUUCUUUUCCACAAGUUAUGGUACGCACUCACUUUUCCUGCAUGAGGACAUAGUUAACUCUGUUAAGCGCGGGAAAGGGAUCUUGAGUGAGCAGAUUUGAUCUCAUUGUUCCAUACAUUGUGUCAUCGAGUCCCACGAGGAACUGAUGCACUCUUUCUUCUUCACGUUUCAUUUCAAAGCAUAAUUCCAAACAAGCGCACUUUCCACAAGUUGAUAUUUGCUCAUAAUUUGCUAAUUCCUCCCACAACUUUUCCAAUCGACCAAAAUAGAUCACAAUAGUUAAUCCUUUCUAUUUGCAGUUUAGCUGUUGUAUACGCGGACCAUUGACAACUGAAAACCUCUCUUUGAUAUCUAUCCAAAGAUCAUGUGCUACCUCCAUGUGUGACAUGGUGGAACAUAACGGGGCUCAAUGAUAUUCAUUAUCCACGAGACUAAUAACGAGUUAUUCGUCCACCCAUCUUCCCAUCUUCAAGAUCCGAUGAAUCUUCAUCUGGUUUCUUGAUAGUUCCAUCUACAAAACCAAAUUUCUUUUUGGAUCUCAACAUAGUUCGGAGUGAGCGCACCCACUCAUUAUAGUUUUCUCAUUUCAAUUAGACUUGUAUCACCAAACUUCCAGGAUUGUCAUUUGGUGUUAUGUCGUAGGGAGAAAUGGUAUUUCUUACAUGGUUUUGUUUUCUUCUCCAGCUAUGGUAACAAGAAACGAGACAACCAAUUUCUUAGAUCAGGAUUUGCUUUAAUACCAUUAAGAAACGAAUAAAGGUGAAUAGUGUGUUUUCUAUUGAUUCUAAAUCAUAUAUUUAUACAAUAAAACUAUGAUCUAUUUUCCUAAAAUAUCAAGUUAUACUUAUGUUAAUCAGAAUUACUUUACAAAUAUUCAUUAUGACAAGAUGAAAUAUGAUUCUAUUUAAUAUAGCAACUUAAUAUAUAAGAUCAAAUAUGAUUAUAUUUAAUAUAUCAACUUAAUAGUUCACAUUUGAUUAUUAUUUUUAGGACGUUCAGUUUUUUUAAAAAUAUUUGAUCUAACAUAUUUUUUUACUAAUCUUCUAUUUACAAGUCACAUUUUAUGAACAUUAUAGAUGAUAUUUUGUUUAAUUUCAUAUAGUGUAUAAAAUAUUUAUUUGGAGAGUAUAAGUAUUUAUUUUAUAUACAAACUACAAUCCAUUAAAAUAUAGCCAAUUAAAAAACUUAAAACCUUUACCCUAAGUAAAUUGAAAAUUUUGAUAAAGUUUUCUUUUUAAUAAAAUAACAUUCAUCUAGCAUUACUAUCAUUUAUUUAUUAAUGUCACAAAUUUUCACUUAAACCUAUUUAUUUCUAUCAUUCAAUCAAAAAUGUAAAGUUUUUUCUUAAUUAUAAUUAUUACGACCAUUAAAAACAUAUAUAUUCACUACUAAAAAAUCCACAUAAAAAAUCACAAUUAAAUAAUCAUCAUUAAAAAUAAAACACUAAAUACAGUUCAAGAUUAAAGGAAAUAUAUAUUCAUGAAUAAGAUAAUUGAUAUCAAUGAAAGAAUUGUUAAAACAGAAACACUAAGGUAUACUUAUGUAAAAUCACACUAUUUUAUUUAAUACUGAAACAUGGCUUAAAUAGCCUACAAAAUGAAAACUGAAAUAGUAAAAAUAACUGCAGAAAAAUAGGAACAAAACGUAGAGAGAAAAGACUGAAACAAACUCCUACUAACCCACUAAAAUAGAACGUGCUCAACACCUCCUAAAAGCACUAGGUUAAUUUAAAUCACUAACAGAAAUCCUAAAUUGUAGCUAGUACACUAACACAUCAGAUCCAACAAUUCCUCCCUUUAAACUGGAAAUGCUAAUCAAGCAUCCAGUUUAAUGUUCUCGAACUUGUAUCCCAAGCAAGCUUCUUAGCUUAACAAAUGUCUCCAAUUUUACUGGUUUAGUCAUGAUAUCUGCCACCUGCUCUUCAGUCCCACAAAACACUAGCUUCACAACUUCUUGACUUAUAAGAUCACGUAAAUAAUGAUACCUCACAUCUAUAUGUUUUGUCCUCUUAUGCAUCACUGGAUUUUUUGAGAGUUUAAUGGAGGAACUAUUAUCGCAUAAGAUCUCGAAGCACUGACAAGGCUUUGGUGCUGAACUGUUAAAGAAUUCCUUUCACCCAAACACAGUGGCAAGCACAGGAUGUUGGCAGCUACACUCAGCUUCGGUCGAGGAUAAAGUGACUAUAGCUUGUUUCGUGAACUCAACACACAGCUGCUUUUAGUAGAAAUACAUAUCCUGACGUGCUCUUCCUGUCGUAUAUAUCUCCGACAUAAUCGCUAUCAGUAUACUUUGGUAUUGAUCAGAUCCCGCUUAUAGAAGAGACCAAAUCCAGAGUGCCCCUUAAGUACCUUAAGCCUCUUAGCAAUUUGCAUAUGCUCUUCUCUAGGUUUGGCCAUGAAACGAGAUAUUAAACAUACCACAUACAUCAUAUCAGGUCUGUGACUGUUAAUACAUAGGCAGCCCACAGUUGCUUGUAUUAGUUAGGCCAUCCACAUCUUGCCUUCUCUUCAAUUGAGUUUGUCCCUGGUACUAUAGAUUUUGACAGGAUGCAAUUCCAUUAUCUUGAAUCUUCAACGCACUUCCUGUAGCAUACUUCUUCUCUGACAUAGAUGGAUUCCCUUCAUGCUUUGAUGUACUUCAACACCAAGAAGAAACUUCAUCCUCCCUAGAUCAGUCAUCUCGAAUUCUUGUUUCAUUGAUUGCUUAAACUCUCACACAUCACAUCAUUCCCAAACAAAAUUAAAUACACACAUAAACUUACCAUAAGCAAUUUUUCUCCAACACUCUUGUUGAAUAAAGUGUGAUCAUGGUUGCUUUUCUCAAGCCCUUAUGUCUGAAAUAACUUUCAAUUCGACUAAACCAUGCCUAGGAGCCUGUUUAGGCCGUAAAAGCUUUGUUAAGUCGAUAAACUUUGUUCUCACCUUUCUGACAAAUCCUCUGGUUGAUCCACAUACACAACUCCUUUAGCUCCCGUACAAGAAGACACUUUACAUCCAACUGAUACACUGUCCAUCCUUUUUGUGCCAGCACAGCGAGCAUAAUUCUUAUAGUGUCUCAUCGAGCAACUGGAGCAAAACUUCAUCAUAAUCGAUCCCUUCCUUUUGAGCAUACCCUUUUACACCACCUCGCCUUGUAUUAUCGACCCGUCCAUCCUCAUUUAGUUUUUUUUGAAACAACCAUUACCCCGUAUUUUUGCUCGAGCCGGAGAACCACAAGCUCCCAAGUAUUGUUCUCCAUCGUAGCUUGUAAUUCACGCUUCAUUGCCUUCUAUCCAUUUAUCUUCUUGGUCGCCUCCUACAAAAUUUGGGAGGAUCAUUGUGAAAAAAACAGCACCAUACUGCGCCUAUUUCUUCUUCCGAAAAUUAUGCUCCACUCUCAUAGUCAUGCAUCCACGCGGGUCUCUUCGUCUUUUUGAGCUUUCGAUCAAAAGUACUUGGUGCAUCAGAAUUUUCAGAAUCUGGCUCAACUGUUGCAGGUUGUUUCUUCUUAGUUGUUCUUCGCGGUCAGCCUCCACCUCUUCUUCGUGUUCUCCCUCAGUUGUUACUUCCUUCAUCAUUGCAAGCCAGAAUAUCAGAUUUGACUCGGUUCCGCUGUUUCCAGUCCCAUUUCCUUCCUCUCGAAUAUAACAUCUCGAUUAAUACUAUUUUAUUUGAUAUUGGAUCAAAUAGUCGAUACGCCUUGAUUCCUCGUGAUCCGAGCAGAAUGCAUUGUGACUUAUAUUAUGUUUUAUCCUAUGUUGUUCAGGAUGUGUACCUAGCAAUGCAGCCAAACACCUAAAAUGAUCAACACUUGGUGUUGACCCCAUUCCAACACUCUUCUGGCACCAUGUCAUUUACAGCACUUGUCUACUCCUAUUUAGCACAUGCGUGUCCAUCUUGGCAGCUUCAGGCCAAAUUUCUUUGGCAUUUCUUCUCUGUGAGCAAACAUCGCAACCAUAUUAUUUAUGGUAUUGAUUUCUCUUCUUUCAGCUACUCCAUUUUGUUGUGGAGUUAGGCAGCGGUUAAUUGUCGUCUAUCCCAUGUUCCUCGCAGAAUGGUUGAAGGAGGUUUGAGUGAAUUCUCCUCCCCCUAUCUGUCCUUAAACAGCAUAUAUACUUUCCAUUUUUCGACACGACUUUUGACCUUUUAAACAAUGUCAAAGUUCACUCUUUUUCUGUACAAGAAAGUAUAUCAAGUCUGUGGGAAAAUCAUAAAUAAGAACUACAUGUACCUUUUACACUAUGACAUGUUAAGAGAUAUAGGACACUAAAUCUCUGCAUGCAACUAGUUCGGAGUUUGUUCAUGAGUCUUUCCACUUUGCCUCUUUUUGAUAUAAAUUCUCGAUGUUGCUUCCCAACAUUACAAACUUCACAUACCCCGUCUGCACUUUUGAGUUGUGGUAACCCUUUGACCAUUCCUUUAUACUGCAUGGUGUGAAUGGCUUUGUUGUUUAAAUGCCUAUAGCGCUUGUGCCAGAGGUUUUCAACUUCCCCUCCUUCUACCUUCAUGCACUUGCUCGAGAGAGGUUUCCUAAAUGCAAACACAAUGAACAGUCGAUUCGCACUCAUUCUAGUGUUCAUAAUUAGGCCUCUUUGAGGAUGGUAAACUUUGCACAUCGCUCCUUUAAUACGAAUAUCUACUCCCUUCUCUUGUAGUUGCCCAAUGCUUAAAAGGUUGCUGGAUAAUUUUGGAACAAAGAAAACAUCAGAUAUCAAUUGAGUUAUGCCCUCAACUUCAAAUCUGAUAUUUCCUUUUCCCAUAAUAGCCAACUUUGAGUUAUUUCCCAAUUUUACAGUGUGCCUGAAGCUCUCAUUUAUUUCACAGAACCAGCCUUUGUUACCUGUCAUGUUGUUUGAACAACCAGAAUCAAGAAACCAAACUCCCUUGUGUCCAUCACCUUCAACUUCUACUAGUGUCAUCAGCAAUAACUCUUCACUAUCAUCAAAUUCAACAUAGUUUGCUUCCCUUCUCAUACUCGGACACUCAUAUUGGAAAUGUCCCAGCUUGUGACACCUGAAGCAUUCAAUAGUAGUCUUUUCGUAACCUGGCCUGGUUCUUCCUCUCCCUCUUGAGUUGUUACUGCCUCCUCUUGGAUAGUUGUUCCUUCCUCUACCACGUCCAAAGUAAGAGUCAUGCUCUACCUUUAGAGCCUGCUCUUCACUUUUCUUAUGGCACACCUUAUGCUCGUGUACCAGUAACAAGCUUUGUAGCUCAUCAACCGUAAGUUGGUUGAUGUCCUUAGAUACUUCAAUCGAACACACAACAAAGUUGAAAUUCUCUGUUAAUGAUCGAAGUAUCUUUUCGACGAUUUUAACAUCUCCCAUAUCUUCUCCACAAUUUCUCAUAUCAUUCUGCAAAUAACCAUUACUCUUCCGAAGUAAUCGUUAUCGAUUCUCCCAUCUUCAUCUCCAAGUUUCGAAAGUCCUUCGAAAACUGCAGUGGGCACGCUUCACUCGGUGCACUUCCUGGUACUUGGUUUCAUUGACUCCCAUAAUUGUUUUGCAGGUCUCCUUCUGUGUGCAAGAUGCGUCUUCAAGAAGGACUUGUCAAUGGCCUUGAACAAAUAGAUUUAUUGCUUUCAGUCUUUGAGUUCUGCUUCAUCCACUUCCUUUUUCGGGCUGCCGUCACCACUUCAUUUUUGUCAGGUGCUUGGCAACCAUCUUGAAUUACACACCAGUAUUCUUUUGAACGCAUCAAGUUCUCCAUGACCAAACUCCAAUGAUCAUAAUCCCCAUCAAAUUUGGGAACACAUGGGGUAGUGAAAUUUCCUGAUCCAGCUGCCAUUUCUCUCACUAAUGUUUUCACUCUCAGUGUUUAAUCACUCAAUCAGGCCCCCUUGCGAGAGCUCUAUACCAAAUGUUAAAACAGAAACACUAAGGUAUACUUCUGUAAAAUCACACUACUUUAUUUAAUACUUAAACAUGGUUUAAAUAGCCUACAAAAUGAAAACUGAAAUAGCAAAAAUAACUGCAGAAAAAUAGGAACAGAACGUAGAGAGAAAAGACUGAAACAAACUCCUACUAACCCACUAAAAUAGAACGUGCUCAGCACCUCCUAAAAGCCCUAAGUUAAUUUAAAUCACUAACAGAAAUCCUAAAUUGUAGCUAGUACACUAACACAUCAGAUCCAACAAGAAUAUUCUAUUUUUAUUGAAUUUUUAAAAUAAAAUAAAAAUGUUUAAUUAAAAUAUCACUUAUAUAUACAUAUAAAUUAUAAGUUGUAACCAAAGAAUAUUCAAGUUUGAACGGUUCAACAGUAGAACCAACCUAAAUGUAAGAGAUUUUGACUAAAGAAUUAACAGAUGCUAUGUUGAUGGAACCUAAACCCUAACCCCUAUUAUAUAUAUAUAUAUGGAUUUCAUUCUUGUCAUGAAAUAGCAUUUGCAAACAAGAGAAUUCUCUUUGUCCAUUCUGAUUAUAGCUUCCAUUAUGGGUGCAGAAAUUUUCGGAAGAAACAUAUUUGGUCGUGUGGAACCUGACCCGGACGAUGACAGCAUCCUUGAAAGAGAUUACAAGAUUAAAGUGGCAGCUUAUGAAUUACUCUGAUGUCUGAUCAUGACUGAGAUUGUAAUGUUACUUUUAUCAUUAAAUUACACUUUGUUAUGAAUUCCAAAUGUCUUGAUGAAAUAAACUAGUAGUUUUUACAUCUCACAGAAAAGAAAUUGUAUCAUGUUUAUGAUGAGCUUUUCUGUGUAGGCCAGUUGAUACUCAUGCUAUCAUUUACUGUUUUUUAGGAUGGAGUUUUCGUUUGCAGAAUGCUUUUGAAAAUGUAGUCAAUGAAACCUUUAGCAAGAUGUAAGAAACAACCCAAUCAUACUGUAUCUAUACACCAUAGACCGCAUCAUGUUAAAUUUGAGACUAACUUUCUUUUAUUUGUAAGGGAAAGAAUAAAUUAGUCCAAAUAAAUUUCCCUUACAAUUAAUAAAAAGUAAGUAUUGUUUAUAUUUUUAAACAUUAACACGAUAAAAAACGGAUAGUCAUGCACAUCUGCAUACCGAUUUUUAAAUAUAGUCUUUCUCUUUUUUGCCGAUCUACACACUGUAUUGUCUUUGUCUCUUAAGACAUCCCUACAAAAUCGGGUUUUUUAAGAUGAGUGAUUUUGCUCAAUAUAAACUCUUUUAGGCUCUUUUAGGCUUUAUCUUUAAUCAACGUGGAACUUUGUUUUCUUCAAUACAGCCCUAAGUGCGUGAACAUAAAUGGUAGGUGUCAUGAAAUAUCCUUAAGUGGAUUUGGUUUUUUUAAUACACCUCAUUACGCCAAUCAAUACUAUUGGUCUUUGUCGCGUACAUUAAUGAUGGGUGGUCAGAUUAUUGGCGCACAUAUAAACGAAGAGAUAUCUUGAUUGUUAGAUAUGAGAUAAUUUAAAAUUAAAUAGAGCAUGACAAUCCUUGUGUUGGGCCUAGUGGUGGAGGUUUGCGUUAAGAGUGUGUUAAGAGUGUGAUUCUCUCAAAGUCUUAAAUUGGUUUGGAUGUCUUAGUAAACCUGUUAGACAAAAUAAUUAUUGGAUCUCGGACUCUGAAACCAACGAUCAUAUCUGUGUUCAUUUUUGCCUUUAUUUAAUUCCUACUACAAAAUUAAACUUGCAUAGGUUAGUCUCCGUAAUGACAAUCUUAUUCUUGUCAAAUAUGGUGGUAACAUCACUUUCUUACCGAGUAUGAUUGAUUUUUUAAUUAACAAGAAAAUCACAAAGUAAAAGAAAAUUGUGAUAUAAACACUGAAUUCUUAAUUCAAUUACAUAUUAUAGAAUAAUAUUUACAAUUGAAUCUCAAUCACACCACUUUCUCCUUUUGAUUAGAAUUAUCCGGGAUUAUGGAAGAAGUGAUGACUAGUAUCCCCAUAUCUUUAUUCUCUCAUGAAGAUCUACAAUAUACUAUGUUCUCUCUUUGUAGUUUGCCCAUAUCUUUGACGGAAAAUGUGUUGGAAGGCUUGUUGACGCAUUCAUUAACUUAGCAUUACAGUUUCUUGUAAAAAAAAUGUAUCAUCUACAUACACAAGUAUGUAUAAUAUUGUGUUGGACCUAGUGGUGGAGGUUUGAAUCCUUUCAAAAUCUUGAAUUCUGCUGGAUACAAUCAAUCUUUAUGUUGGAUCAGUCUAUAUAGAGAUUUGCUCUCUGCCUUUAAACGGCAUCCCUCUAAUGAAUAAAUAUCUAAGAUUUAAAAAUAGAAAACAUGACAUAAUAACACAAUAUCAAUAGUUUUAUUGAUUUUGUGUUCUAUAACAACUUAAUAAUUAACAUCAACAAGCUAAAUGCUGAAAAUAAAAGUGAAUAUUACUUUCUAUGUAUUACAACGUGAUUAGUUCUCAAGUAUAUAUUAAAUGUUGUAGCACAGAUUUAAUGAACUAAACAUAUAUAUUUUCUUAGUUCAAAUGAAAUAUAUUUUCUUAAAAUAAAUGUACAAGAAUAUAAGAAAUCAUCACAAUAUAAAAGAGAAACGAAGAUUAAUUUUGUCUAUAUGAUCUUAAAUUAUUGUAGUGGUAUGCCCUUAAUCAAAGAUUCCAUUAAUGAAUAAAUUAUAGCAAGUGAAAAUGAAAAAAAGACUGAUGGGGUGAGAGAGGCUCGAACUCUCGACCUCAGGAUAACUCUUAGCUAUGAGACCUACGCGCUAGCCAACUGCGCCACCACCCCAAUGAUGUUGGAAAAUUAACUAUACUUUAUAUACUUGGAUAAACAUUCCGAUCAUUAUAAGGAAAAUAAUAUUUAUAUUUGAAAUCAAGUCUAAUGAAAAUAGAAAAGUAACUAAUUUUUCAUAAGAAAAGUUAAUCGACGAUACGAUUCCAUCAAAAGUUCAAGAAUUUCUUCUUUCCCUUACGAUUUAUAAAAAGUAUUGUUUAUAUUCUUAAACAUUAACGCGAUAAAAAAAAGAUAGGAGUGCAUGCACAUCUUCUUUCCUACUUGUAAAUAUAGUCUCUCUCUUUUUUGCCAAUCUACAUAAUACAUGGUCUUUGUCCCUUACGCACCCCUACAAAAUCGAUUUUUUAAGAUGAGUGGUUUCACUCAAUAUAAACUCUUUUAGGUUUUAUCUUUAACCAACGUGGAACUUGAUUUUUUCCAAUACAUCCCCUCGUACCCAUCUUUUUUGAGCUUGGUGCAUGAACAUAAAUGAUAGGUGUCAUGAAAUAUCCUUACGUGGAUUUGGUUUUUUUAAUACAUCCUAUUAUCCCUAGCACUAUUGGUUUUUGUCACAUAUAUUAAUGAUGGGUGGCCAGAUUAUUGGCGCACAUAUAAACGGAGAGAUAUCUUGAUUGUUGGAUACGAGAUAAUUUAAAAUUAAAUAGAGCAUGACAAUUCUUGUGUUGGUCCUAGUGGUGGAGGUUUGGAUGUUGAGAGUGUGCUUAUCUAAAAGUCUUAAAUUUGAAUCCUGCUAGGUGUAAUCAAUCAUUGUGUUAGGCCAGUCUAUACGGAGCUUUGCUCUAGAUUUAAACGCGGCCCCGCUAGUGGACGGAUAUCAAGAUUUAAAAACACACGAUGAGCUUCAAUUUUAGACUUUGUUUUGAGAGUAAGGACGUAGCCUAGGGUAACAUAGAGUCCCACAGACACGAAGGUUGUGAUAGUUGGGUUUGGAUCCAAAGAGAUGUUCAUAAGGACAUUUAUUAUUACAUUGAGGAGUGUGCAUGUGAUUUAUGAGAUACACUUCCAUUUGAAAAGUAUAACACCCAAAUUUUUGUGGAACAAAAGAGUGAGAAAAGAGAGUAAGAGCAGUCUCUACAAUAUAGUGAUGCAUGAGUUUUGCAAUGCCAAUAUGUUCAGGUGUAUAAGGUCGUUAAAAAAAUAGGAAACUCCAUGAUAAUUAAGUUAAUAUUUUAGUUUGAAAUAUUUAGUGCCCCCAUCAGUAUAUAUGGACUUGACUUUGCGGGUGAAAAAGUUUUCAAUUUUAAAGAGAUAUUGAUGAAAUAUGAUAGCUACAUAUGUUUUACUUUUUAAUGGAUAAAUCCAUGUGUAGCGUGUGAGAUGAUCCACAAAUAUAAAAUAAUAUUUGUAACCAUUUAUGGACAAUAUAGGAGAUGGUCCCCAAACAUUAAAAAAAAAUAAGAGGAGAAUUAUUGAAUAGAGAAUAAAGAAAAAGGAAUUUUGUGACUUUUAUUAAUAGAGUAGAGAUUACAAUGGGGAUUUUUAUUAAAAUUCCUAGAUAGACCACAAGAACAUAACAUUUGUGUAAGAGUUUUUGGAGAUAUGUGUUCAAAUACUGCAUGUCAAAGAUCAAAGUUGGAUGUGGUUGUAGAUAGUGUCGUGGAAGAAGAAGGAGUUUGGCUAUAGGUACAAAGAUUACCAUUACUUGGAUUGUGCAUCAAAACCACCCUCGUAACUUGAUCCUUCACACAGAAAAAAGAGGAAUGAAAUUCAACAUAAGCAUUUUUAGACUUACAAAUUUUAGAAACAGUGAUAAGAUUAUGUUUUGCAUUUGGAACACAAAUAAUAUAUUUUAGAUGAAAAAUUGUAUUUGGUGUUGGGAGGGUGGUUAAUCCAAUAGGAAAUAUUUUUAAACUUGUACCAUCAUACUCAUAGUGGAUAUGCAUAUUGUUGAGAUUAUUUGCAACAUAGUGAUUGGCCCCACUAUCAACGACCCGAUUAGAGUUGGUGGAGUUUCUAGAAGCAUAAUGAGCCAUUGGUGGGUUAUUUGGUUUGGGAAUCUGUGGAAAGUAGCGAUAAGUAUGUCCAAUUGUUGAGAAAAAUUAGAAACGUGGAUAGGGAUUAUUGCUACAAUAAUUGAAGCAUUUAGAUUUUCCUCGACCAAUAUAUGACUCAUGUGAAUUAGAGGGUGAAUAGCCACGACCAAAUGAUUGUGUAGGUAAGAGACCAACAUGUUUGAAAUUUUUGUGGGCUAUGUUUGCAGUUGAAACGUGAAUUUCAACUUGGGAUUCCCGACGAAUAUAUUCAUCAUGAGCAAGCAAGUGGCUAUGAAGUUAUUCAAAGUGAAGGGUUUUUCAUGAGUACGAAUGAAUGCAGCAACAUCACGAUAUUAAGACCCAAAGACAUUGAGAACAUAGAGGGUGAGAUCAUCAUCUUAAAUUUUUCUAUUAAUGACAUUUAGUUCAUCGACGAGGAAUUUGAAAAAAAAUAGAUAGUUAGUGAUGGAUUUUUUGCCUUUGGUACAAUGCUAAAUUUGAUUUUUGAUGGACAUGACAUGAGAUCGAGAGGUGCUUGCAUGUUGGAAUUCAAUGAAAACCCAUAACGUUCUAGCAGUGUCAUAGGAGGCAAAGGAUAUACUAUCAGAUUUUGUCAUGAAGGAGAGAAGAAAAUUGAUGAUGAAUUAGUCAAUCAUGAACCAAUUUAUAUAUUCAAGAUUUGGGUUUGAGACACCAAUAGUAAUAAUGAUGGGAGUUUGAGAGGGUGUAGUUCCAUAUAUAUGGCUAAUAACUUGGAUGUCGGAGAAAAAAAUGGUAGCUUGACAUUUCCAAACACGAUAACAGGCUCAAAAGAGCUUAAGAGUGAUAGAAGCAUGACUAACAAGAGUUGUUUUUUAUGGGUUUGUGGUGGAUACCAAGGUAAAGGAAUUUGGGAUUGAUAAAUGCUAUUAGGCUAAAGCUAAUACUGAUACCAUGAAAAAAUAAAUAUAUUGAAUGCUUGAUUUAUUUGAUAUCCUUAAGAAAUAUGGUUGAGUCUAACUCAAUCCUACAAAAAUGACUUGUAGGGUGAGGAUUUCCCCCAUUUAUAAGCACAUGUUCAUAUCAUAUAUUAUCUGAUGUGAGACUCUUAACACACCCUCUCACACCCCAAAUGUAUGUAUGCCAUGAAGAAAUACUAAUGGAUAAAUGUAUGAAGUAAUGGAUGUCACUAAUGUCUUGAAACUAAAACCCUAAAUGGACUUAAUUUAGAAGGCAUGUAAUUAUGGAUCAUAUAAUGGGAUGCAAAAGAACAAAUGAGACCAGUCAUAUUUAGAUAUUGGAUGCAUGAUAUGACUAUGCUAGUGAUCAGAUGAAAAGUCAAGUUGUUGACUUUUCUUUGUUAUUGACUUAUGCAAGCUAAUGGAACCUUAUGACUAAUGGUCAUAAGAAAAUGAUGCAAAUGAGACACACAUGAGUAAUAUGAAAAUGAAUCAACACAAGUGAAAAUAUUUGGAGGGGGAAAUUUUAUGGUAUGUCAUUAUAUUGGUAAGUCAUCAGCUUAUUCAUGUUCUUCUUCUAAAUGGCUUAUGAACCCUAUUCUCUAUUUGAGCCAAUAGUGUUUCGACUUUGUCACCUAGUUUUCUUGGGAUUAUGGUCCUAAGUUGCGCUUGGAAUUGUUGAAGAUAUUAAAUAUAAUCCAAGUUAACACUUUAUUUCCUUGGUAUUAGGUGUAUAUAAAUAGACACUUUGUAAUUCAGAAUUAUCAGUCAAUUCAAUAAUAUAAUCUUUAUUUCCUUAUUCCCUCUUUCUCUCCUCACUAAAAGUGCCUCGAGCACUAACAAAUUGGUACCUAGAGCCCUGGUUAGAUUCUUGGUCGUGUUUUCAAGAAUCACACGUCCGAGAUUGUGUUUCAGAGAUCGUGGAUUGUCGUUGAUCAACCGCUACAAAGAUGAAUGGUAACGGAAAUUUACCAAACUCCCUUCCAACUCUUGACGACAAGAAUUUGCUUCGAUAGAGGAAACAAAUGCAAUCUCUAUUUGGCUUUCAUGAAACCUUAGAAGUGGUUACUAAUGUUGUUCAUAAAGUUAGUGAAGAUGAAACUGACGCACAGAGAACUACUCACAAGGAUGCCAAGAAGAAGGACUGCAUGGCGACGUUUUACAUCCAAUCGGCGGUUGAUGCAGAUAAUUUUGACAAAAUCGAUCAUGUUGAAUCGGCGAAUGAGACAUGAGAUAUUAUUGUCAAGUACUAUGAAGGAGGCGAUAAAGUCAAGGUUGUCAAGUUGCAAACUUUGCGACGACAAUAUGAAUUAUUUUCGAUGGGAGAAGACGAAAAGAUUGCAGACUAUGUGUCGAAGGUGCAGAAACUCGUCCAUCUCAUGAAGGGUUGCGGCAUAACUGUUAGGGACCAAUUAGUACUACUUUUCAUAUAAUUUUAUUGGUCCCUUUUACCAUUUUCUGAUUGAAUUACACACUUUUAUCCUCACAAUUUUGUAUAAAUGCAAUUAAGUUUAAGUGAUUAUGUUUUAAGUAGAUAUUUCACAUACUACUUUUCAUAUAAUUUUAUUGGUCCCUUUUACCAUUUUCUGAUUGAAUUACACACUUUUAUCCUCACAAUUUUGUAUAAAUGCAAUUAAGUUUAAGUGAUUAUGUUUUAAGUAGAUAUUUCACAUAUUUGUUAGUUUUGUAGAGUUUUUGGACAAGAGAGCAUUGGAGUGCAUAAGCAUAAUUUGGAUGAAGUUUCAAUGGCAAUUUGGAAGCAUAAUUUGGAAGAAUAACACUUUGGAGAAUUGUUGAAUGAAGCUUGCAAGGCAAGGAAGCUGAAAUUGCUUCAGUUCGCGCCGCGACCAGGGAUGGCGCCGCGAACCUUGCUAAACCAGCAAGCAUUUUUUUGGGGCCAAGUGUUCUGUUUUCAACCCAACUUUAGUGUGACAAUGUAUCAAUUUUAGAGUGCUUUUCAGUUUUAGAUGAAAAUGAACAUUUUAGGAAAGGUUGAACUCUUUAAGAAAACAGAAUGGAAAAAAUAGAAAGAUACACACAUUGUAGAAGAAAAACAGAGUUUAGUUUGCUAUUGCAUUUUGCUGUCCAAAAUGAUGAUGAGGAGCUAAACCCCAUUUUGUCAAGAUUGGAGGUAGUAGCUAUUCCUAUUUGCUUAUGUAUUCCAUUUGACUCUUGUAUAUGACAAAAGGUUAUUGAUGUAUUAAGUGAUAUUUUUGCCCUAUUUUAAAUAUUUACUUUGAGUAGUUGUUGAGAAAGAUUAUUCAAGUCUUGACUUAAAAUAUACUUUCAAGUAGUGAAUGAGUUGUAGAAAUAGAUUUAUACACUACUCUUCUUUUUGUAUCAAACAUUAAAGAUUGUUAUAUUGAUAGUUAGGUAGAGAAAUCAUUUAACCAUUAAUAUAGUGAUUAUCACAAUAUCAUUUAGAGAUAAAUGAUAUUGAGAGGAUACUUGAAUAUCAUCAAUAAUUUUAAAUCUAUAUAGUUGUCAUAAGGAAACAUAAGAAAUUUGAAUAGUGAACUUCAAUCUUGCCAAACCUUUUACAUUUGAUUAAAACUAUUUUAUUGUUUUAGUGACAUUUUACUCAAAAGAUAACUUUUCAAACAAAACAACUUGGUUACAUUUUAAACUUAUAACAAUUUAGAUUAUAGAACGGCGGUAAUAACAACCAAUCUCUGUGGAUACGAUAUUAAAAUAUUUGCCGAAAAUAUACUUUUCAACAAAUUGGCGCUGUUGCCGAGGAGUUCUUGAAUUAAAUACCAAUGAUGCUAUUCUUGCUCAAAACAAGCUACCUUCUCAACAAGUGGAGUUGCUCACUCAACAAAUGUCAAAACUCCCACAACAAAUGAAGGACAUACAGGGAUCUCAAUCUAGACAUCAAGUAGCAUGCUGCGAACUAUGUCAAGGAGAUCAUCCAACCGGUUAUUGUCCUUCAUUGGAAGAAGUGAGUUAUGUGAAUAACCAAAACCAAGGUUAUCAAAGACAACCCCCACCCCACAAUAACUCAUAUCCAAGGAACAAUCAAGGUUAUCAACCAUCAAGGUUCAACGACCAAAAUUUUCAGCAACAAAGUCCUUAUCAACACCCAAAUUCUCAAGGACAACAAUCGCAAGGAGGAAAUUCAAAGCUAGAAGACACUCUCCAACAAUUCAUGCAAGCCUCCAUGGCAAACCAAAAGAGUAAUGAGGCAGCUAUUAAAAAUUUGGAGAAUCAAGUAGGCCAACUUGCGAAGCAAUUGUCGGAAUAACACGUAAGUUCUUCAUUCUCCGCUAACACUUAAACCAAUCCAAAGGAGCAUUGUAAAGUAAUUGUUACGAGAAGCGGUAAAGAGUUGACAAGUGGAAAAAGUGAGGAGAUUAUAGUAGAGAAUGAUAUGGAUGUUGUACAUGAAAAUGAGGAUGUGGACUGUGAAAAGGAGAAAGUGGCCGAAACUGUUCAGUUCGCGCCGCGAAAAGAGCAGAAACAGCAAGAGUCAGCAGAGCAGCAGGGUGAAGUGGAAAUGAAGAAAGAAGUCGAGCCAAGAAAGAAGAAGAAAGGAGACAAAGGCGUGAGUGCCAUUCCAGCUUAACAUCUACCUUAUCCGCACGCACCAUCAAAGAAGGAUAAUGCUAGACACUAUGCACGGUUUAUGGACAUAUUCAAACAACUUCAAAUAAAUAUUUCAUUUGUCGGCGCAUUAGAGCAAAUGCCACGGUAUGCAAAGUUCAUGAAGGAUAUUCUCACAAAGAAAAGGAGAUAUGUGGAAGACAAGACAAUCUUGCUGGAUGCACGUUGUAGCGCCAUAAUCCAAAAAACUCUCCCAAGAAAGGAAUCUGAUCCGGGCCGAGUUGUUUUACCGAUAACCAUUGGAGGCACUUACAUUGGUAAUGGUUUGAUCGACUUGGGAUCUAGCAUCAAUUUAAUCCCCUUAUCCAUUGUGAAAAGAUUGGGGAAUGUUGAGAUUAAAUCUACAAGGAUGACUUUACAACUAGCCGAUAAGUCUACCACUUCACCAUAUGGGGUUGCUCAAGAUAUGCUAGUGAAGGUGGACAAAUUCUUGUUUCCAGUAGAUUUUUUGAUAGUGGACAUGGAUGAGGAUCGUGAUGUUCCUCUAAUUCUUGGAAGAUCAUUCAUGAAAACAGCCCGAAUGAUGAUUGACAUUGAUGAUGGACUCAUGAAAGUAAGAGUGCAAGAUGAAGAGGUGACUUUCAAUCUUUUUGAAGCCAUGAAGCAUCCUAAUGACAAGCAUGAUUCUUUCCGAAUCGAUGCCACCGAGGAGGAAAUAGUGGAAGUUGCAAACCAAGUUCAUGUUUCUAAUCCGUUAGAAAGAUCUCUUAUUGGAGCUUACAAUGUUUUGACCGAAAAUGAAGAAAAAGAGAUUGAAGCAAUUUUGCAUGAAUUGGAGUCGUGUGGAGAGAUUGCUUAUCAUGAAGAGACAAAUGAAGACCUGGAUGUGAAGAAGAAAGUGGAAGAGCCAAAACUAGAGUUGAAAAUGCUACCUUCACACUUGAAGUAUGUGUUCCUAGGUGAUGAUUGUACUAAACCGGUGAUCAUUAGCAAUACCUUGUCCACAAAAGAGGAGCAUAAAUUGAUACAAGUGCUAAAAAAGAAUGAAGGUGCAAUAGGGUGGGUAUUAUCUGUAACACCCCGAUAAUAAUAAAAUAAUUAUUUAAAGUGAGUUAAUAAUAUAUUUAUUAAUUUAAUUAAAUAAUUGGAAAUUUUAUUAUUAUUAUUAUUGGAUUAUUAUUAUUAUUGGAAAAUAUAUAAGUUGGAAUAAGGAAAAAGGGUUUCAGUAUUGGUAAAGAGUUUUCACGUGAAACAGAGAAGCGGCUGAAAGGUGAAAGGUGGAGAAAAGGCAAAGAGGAAGAGCUAGAGAGCAAAGGUUGAAGAACGGAAAAGCUCGAAGCUUAGAGAUUGCCGGAUUAUCUCAGGUAAGGCGGGUUUAUCGUCGUUUAAUGGGUAUUAUAGAUUAACAUGUCAUGGGUAGUGAUAAACCGUUGAAGUGACCCUAAUUGGGAUGUUGAAUGCUGAAAUAUUGUGAUGAAUAAGUUGUAUUAAAGCUGUAAUUGAGUCCGUAAUUGUGUGAGUCGUGUUCCCCCGAACGUGUAGCUUUUUACGGAAAUUGAAUCGGAGGUCCGGAAGUCCUCCAACGGCGGAAAAUGCGGAGAACUCUGCAUUCUGCCUUGUGUUAGCGCAGGAACUGCUGUUUUGCCUGCGUUAACCGGUUAACCCAGGGCGUUAACCGGUUAACACUGUUAUAUUUUGUGGAAAUGUGCUGUUUUGCCUGCGUUAACCGGUUAACCCAGGGCGUUAACCGGUUAACACUGUUGCGUUUUGCCAGAAAGUGUGUUUUGUCCUGCGUUAACCGGUUAACCCAGGGCGUUAACCGGUUAACACUGUUGGAAAUUAGAAAAAUUGAUAUUUUUAAUGUUGUGAACCUAAUUGGUGAUUGGCCUAUUAUAGUUAAUUGUGAUGAGUAAUUUUGUUGGAUUUAUGUUAUGAAGUGUUGAUACAAGUAUGUUGCUGAGUUGUUCCGUGUACGGAAAGUUGUUGAAAAUACUGAGUUGUAGGCUUGGUGAGCCAAAGUUGAUUAUAAGUUGAUGUUGUUGAAAACAUUGUUGUAUUGCUAUUAUUAUUAUGUUGUCGACAGUUUAAAGUCGUGUAUGCCAUGUACAUUCAUAUGCAUUAAGUCGGAGCUUUGCUCACACCACGUUGGCCUGGAUUGGCAAAUUUUAAGUUGAAAGUUGAAGGCUUAUGCCUUGAUGCCCACUAAAAUGGCAAUGAUUUUAAGUUGGGAGUUUUACUCCGAAUGGUACCACAUGCAUGACGAGUCGAGUCUCAUUUGAGUUGCAUUUUAUGUUGUUAUUGAGUUGCAUUUUACGUUGUUAUUGAGUAUGAUAUUUGAGUUGAUGUGCCGUUACUGAAUGCAGGAUAUGAUUAGGGUGAUUAACGUGUAAAUUUACUUAGCAUUACAUGAUGAUUUAUAAUGCUUAUUAUAUCGAUUGAGGAACUCACCCUUACAACUAUUUUUCAGGUAACGAGCAGUGAGUGAGUAGAAGCUAGUGCCUGGAGUCUAGUGUAGUCUACGUAGUGGGUCGUGCUCUGAUAGAUGUAACAUCGGGACGGGAUGUUUUAAUUGUUUAUUGUUGAUUGUUGAACCUUUUUACCUGUAAAACGUUAUAUGUUUUGAAUGGUUGGUUGAUUCUAUCCGCUGCGAAUUUUGCAAAAAUGUUGUUUUGAUUAAAUAAAGAGCAUGACAGUUAUUAUGGUGUGAAAUGUUGUGUGACACCCUUGGUGCAUGAUUACUCUGAUAUAUAUAUAUAUAUAUAUAUUUGUUGUUGUUAUUAAAUAUUUGGGGUAUUUUAGAAGGGUGUUACAUUAUCCGACUUGAAGGGUAUUAGUCCGGCCUAUUGUAUGCAUAAGAUCAUGAUGGAAGAAAAUUUCAAACCCGUUGCACAACCUCAAAGGCGCUUAAAUCCAUCAAUGAAAGAAGUGGUUAGGAAAGAAGUUGUCAAACUCUUGGAAGUCAGAAUGAUUUAUCCUAUCUCCGAUAGUGAAUGGGUGAGUCCGGUGCAAGUAGUUCCAAAAAAAGAUGGUAUGACGGUUAUCAAAAAUGAUAAAAAUGAGUUGAUUCCAACUAGAACAGUAACCGGGUGGAGGAUGUGUAUUGACUAUAGGAGGCUAAAUCAAGCUACAAGGAAAGAUCAUUUCCCGCUACCUUUCAUGGACCAAAUGUUGGAAAGGUUGGGCGCCAAAAAUUUCUAUUGUUUCUUGGAUGGUUAUUCGGGUUACAACCAAAUUUUGGUCAAUCCGGCGGAUCAUGAGAAGACGGUUUUUACAUGUCCUUUCGGCAUUUUUGCUUACCUAAGAAUGCCUUUUGGAUUAUGUAAUGCACCGACAACCUUUCAACGGUGUAUGCAAGCAAUAUUCUCGGAUUUGAUCGAAGAAUGCAUUGAAGUGUUUAUGGAUGACUUCUCCGUUUAUGGAUCGUCCUUUGAUUUUUGCUUGAAAAAUCUUGAUGUGGUUUUGGAAAGAUGCGUGGAAACAAACUUAGUGCUAAAUUGGGAGAAAUGCAACUUUAUGGUCACCGAAGGUGUUGUUCUUGGUCACAAAAUCUCUUCCGAAGGGCUAGAAGUUGAUAGAGCAAAGGUGGAAGUCAUUGAAAAAUUACCACCUCCAACAAACAUCAAAGGAAUAAGGAGCUUUCUUGGACAUGCCGGAUUUUAUCGGAGAUUCAUCAAGGAUUUCUCAAAGAUAGCAAAGCCCUUGAGUAAUUUGCUCAACAAAGGUACGCAAUUUCUUUUCGAUGAGUCGUGUCUAAAAGCAUUCCUUGAGUUGAAAGAAAAGUUAGUCACCGCACCCAUAAUCGUUGCACCAAAUUGGACACUUGAUUUUGAACUUAUGUGUGAUGCAAGCGAUUAUGCGGUUGGUGAGGUUUUGGGUCAAAGAAGAAAUAAAAAAUUUCAUGUCAUCCACUAUGCUAGUAAAGCUUUAAAUGAGGCGCAAGUCAAUUAUGCGACAACCGAAAAGGAGUUACUAGCUAUAGUGUAUGCAUUGGAAAAAGUUUAGAGCUUAUUUGAUCGGGUCCAAAGUUGUAGUUUACACCGACCAUUCGGCAAUCAAGUAUUUGCUAACCAAGCCGGAUUCCAAACAAAGAUUAAUUCGUUGGAUUUUGUUAUUACAAGAAUUUGAUUUGGAAAUCCGGGAUAAAAAAGGUUCCGAAAACUUGGUAGCGGAUCAUUUGUCCCGUUUGUUUAAUGUGGAAAUUACAAACAAGGAAGAAGAAGUAAGAGAAGAAUUUAUGGACGAAAAGCUUUAUGCGAUUCAAGUGAGGCCUUGGUUUGCCGAUUUUGCUAAUUAUAAGGCAACCGGUUUGACACCGGAAGACCUCACUAGUAAUCAAAGAAAGAAAUUCUUAGCGGAUGCAAAGUACUAUGUGUGGGAUGAUCCGUAUUUGUUUAAAGUGGGUGUGAACAGUAUUUUAAGAAGGUGUGUGACACUUGAGGAGUCAAAAGACAUCCUUUGGCAUUGUCAUAACUCUCCGUAUGGAGGUCACUAUAGCGAUUUGAGAACAGCCACUAAAGUGCUCCAAGCGGGCUUUUAUUGGCCGUCUUUGUUUAAAGAUGCACAUGAACACGCGAAGAGUUGUGACACAUGUCAACGAAGUGGAGGAAUAGGAAAACGGAAUGAAAUGCCUCUAACCAACAUGUUAGAAGUAGAAGUUUUUGAUUGUUGGGGUAUUUAUUCCGUUGGCCCAUUCCCCUCUUCCUUCUCAAAUGAGUAUAUCCUUGUGGCCGUUGACUAUGUUUCGAAGUGGGUGGAAGCAAUUGCUUCACCUAAGGCCGACGCCAAAACGGUGAUAAAUUUUUUAAAGAAAAACAUAUUCUCACAUUUUGGUGUGCCUCGGAUGUUGAUAAGCGAUGGAGGAUCACACUUUUGCAAUACACCUUUUGAAAUUUUUUUACAACAUUAUGGUGUAAAGCAUAAGGUGACUACUCCCUACCAUCCACAAGCGAAUGGUCAGACGGAAGUUUCUAACCGAGAAGUGAAGAGGAUCCUUGAAAAAACAGUCUCGAGUUCAAGAAAAUGACUACUCCCUACCAUCCACAAGCGAAUGGUCAGACGGAAGUUUCUAACCGAGAAGUGAAGAGGAUCCUUGAAAAAACAGUCUCGAGUUCAAGAAAAGAUUGGUCAUUAAAAUUAGAUGAAGCUUUAUGGGCGUAUCGUACCGCCUACAAAGCUCCUAUUGGACUAACUCAAUUUCAGAUGGUGUAUGGGAAGACUUGUCAUCUCCCGGUGGAAAUGGAGCAUAGAGAACUAUGGGCUCUCAAAUUCUUGAAUUUUGACUCCACUUUAGCUGGAGAGAAAAGAAGGGGACAGCUCCAUGAAUUGGAGGAAUCACGGAACAGUGCUUACCAUUCAAAUAAAUUGUACAAGGAGAAAGUGAAAGCGUACCAUGAUGGAAAGGUCUGUCACAAAGAGUUCAAAGUUGGACAAAUGGUACUUCUUUUCAAUUCAAGAUUGAAGUUAUUUCCCGGUAAGCUAAAGUCCAAGUGGUCGGGACCAUUUGUUGUAAAGGAGGUGCGAAACUAUGGGGCCAUCGUGGUUGAGGAUCCAAAGUCACAGGAGAGCUGGACUGUAAAUGGACAAAAACUAAAAGUCUACCAUAGUGUCAAAGUGAAUCGAGAUGUCUGUGUCAUUUCCCUAGCCAGACCAUGAAGAUCAUUGAACCGUCGAGCUCAAAACGACGUUAAACAAAGCGCUUGUUGUGAGGCAACCCAACGUUGUAAGUUUGCAUUUCAAGUUUUGUCAAUUCAGUUGUUAAUGUAUUCUGUUUUGUUUCUUUUUAUUUGAAAAUUGAGUUCUGUCUACUGCCAACAAUUUUUAAAAUUUCCUUCAGUUCGCCCCGCGAACAGCCUUCGCCUCACGAACUGAAUGGAAAAGUUCAGGUUGGCGCCGCGAACAAAGUUCGCCCAGCGAACUAAGCGUGGCAAAACCUUUUAAGUUCUGUUUUGGUGUUAUUUCUAUUUCAUUUCCAAAUUCACAAUUUCACAAUUCUCUUCAUCACUUUCACUACCCCACUUCCAAAUUCACAAUUAAUCCUCUCCACUUCAAAAAUCCCAAACUUUUUAACAAGAAUCAAGUCAAUCCUCAACAAAGGUAUGUGUAAUCUCUUCCCUUUCCUCUUUGUUCCUCAUUUAGAUGAAAUAGGGUUUUGCUAGAAAUUGAUGUAGUUGAUGAAUUUAGCCUUGCAUGUCUAUAGAGGACUCAAAUUAGGAUUGGGUAAGAGAUUAUGGUUAUGAUUGAGAAACGUUUUUGAGCAGAAGGAACCCUAGAGGCUGCUGUUAUUUUCCUGGUUCGCAAGGUUCGCGCCGUGAACUGGGAAAUUUUAGUUUCAUGAUUUUUGAUUUUGAAUGCUAACUUCUCUUAUGGCUUUUGUGCGGUUGUUUCUGAUUUUUGUUGCAGAUGUCAAAACGUACCAAAACCACAAGCUCCGGUCCUUCUCGAUCCGUGCGAUAAUUCACUAGUGAUGAGCACGAGGAGAGAUUCGAAAAAUUGAUCAAACGGACCAUUCAACCGGAAAGAUUCAUCCGCUUAUCACCGGGUGGAACUUAUAGGAAGCUGGUGUCGAAUUUUGAAAGAAGAAAAUGGAACAAGAUUUGUGAACCAGAGCCAGAGAUAAAUUAUGACAUUGUGCGUGAGUUCUACGCCAAUGCUUUUCAGUUGGAGGAGGGAGUGGCAUUUCACUAUCAGACAAGAGUGAGGGGAAAGAUCAUUUCCUUCAGUAGGGACGCGAUCAACGCGUAUUUGAGUAAUCCUCUAAUUUUGGCGGAGAAUGGACGGUGCGAGUACCGUGCCAAAGAAAUGGCCAACGAUUGGGGCCUUCCUACUGUGAUCUCUCAUCUAUGCCUUGAAGGAAGGACUUAUGAUUUGAAUGAUCAGGGAUUCCCGAAGUCGUGGAAGAGGGAGAGUUUGAACUUGGAAGCAAGGGCCUAUUUGGUGCUUCUAUUGAAUAAUAUUCGGCCAAGGAGCCACAGCACCACCAUUCCAUUGGAUGUCGGAUGCCUAUUAUACUACAUCAUGAUUGGUAAAUCAGUAGAUAUGACAUCCAUCAUUGCGGGGGAAAUACGCAAAGUUGCUACUAUUGGAACGAAGUUCGGUGGGAAAGUUGGUGUUCUAACAUAUCCGGGGCUGAUUAUGGGACUUUGCCGAAGGGCAAAUGUUCCCAUUCCGGAUGAGGUACACUUGUCUAUCACCAGUAUUAUUAAUGAUGCUAAUCUUAACAGGUUUUGCCAGAGCCAGAUGGACAGAGCUGAAGGAGCUGGCACUUCUUCCUCUAGACCCCGAGCCCGCAGUACGCCAUCAUUCGAUCAGAUGGCGUUCGCUACCUACUGCUGUGAGAGCUUUGAGGCCUCUAGGAGGUCUCAAUCAUUCAUUUUUGAUGCUAUGCAGCAGCAAUUUCAGAACACCUUCCUUGCGCCCGAAGCCCGCACUUUUCCUUCCUAGGCGGAGUAUGCUACUUAUGCUAAUUGGCCUGAGGGCAAGCCAGCUUUUAUGGGGGGUGCAGGAGGUGGUGCGACCCAUGAUGAUGAGAUGGAGGAUGUCCUUGGAUCCGUUGGUGGUGAUCAUGAUGAGGAAGAUUGAGGAUUUUUUUUAGUAGUAGUAGAUUUUUAUUUUGAGUUUUUAUUAUUAUGGUUUUUGUUUAAUUACUAUUGUACUUUUGGUGGCUCUAGUUUCACCAUAAACUUUUGUUUGUAUUGCAGUGAAUCAUUUGCGGAGAUUAAUGUGGUGUUAUCAUGAAUUGUGGUAUACCCAUUUGUUGUUUAAUUUUUCUUACUUUAAGUUAAGCUUAAAGCAACCAGAAAUGCUUGCAAAGAAGGAAGCGUAUGACACUUCGAUGGUGAUGAUAAGAAUUAGUGUCGGCAUUUCAAGACAACAUUAUCGCUUUCUAGACUUAACAUGAGUAGUUUGAUGGUGUGUUGCAAUUCCAUAUCAUAAAUUCAUUGAGAUACAUGUCUUUUGAAUCAAAAUAGGACUUAACCAAUUGUGAGGUAGCUUUCCAUUGUACACUAAAUGCGGGAAACCGAACAUUAUUCAAUUCAUUCUUAUCAUGCUAAAUCAUGCAUUAAUCUAUUUUUGUGAAAAUUGUGAGAAUGAUAGAGGCAUUGUUGUUAGUGAGAAAACCACUUGGCAAAAAGUUUUGAAUCAACUAACCUUGUGAGGAGUGAUCCUUAGUUAACCCCUUUGAGCUUUUAGGAUUCAUUUGAUUGAUAAGUGUAAAGUCAAUUGAAAAUUUUGUGAAUAAAUGAAUCCUAACUUCUUUCGUUUCAAUUGAACCCUCAAACUGAGUUUUUGCAAAUUUUGUCUUUCGCCUAUGUCUAAGUAGGGAGCAUUAUUGAAUAAAUUUGGUUUUGAAAUCUAAAGUUGGGGAGAGUAAAUUAGAAGAGUUGAUUAGAAACUUGGAAAAGUGAUGUUUAUAAAAGGGUGAAAGUGUGAAAGAAACAAGAAAAAGAAAUCAUGUUUGAAACUAUAGAGCAAAGAAAAAGAAAAGAAAGAAAAAAACAAAGAAAAACUCAUGGGUGUGGAUGUGAAAAAUAGAAAGAAGAAAGAUGAGGAUAAAGAAACGGAAAUGUUGUUAAGUUGAAUGUAUGGGAAUGCUCCCUUAGGAUAGGCAUUUUGUUGAAUGCUCUUAAUCAUAUCCUUUCUUGUAACCCAAGCCACAUUACAACCUUUGAAAGACCUCUUGAUUCUCAUUUUCACAUGAUUAGUAUUUGCUUUGAUGAUCGCAUGAUUCGAGUUGUUGUUGAUUUAAUUGUUUGGAUGAUGAAGUAACCUUCAUGUUUAUUCAUCAUAUUAUGAUGUGUGUGUAAGUUUGAUUCAAUUUUGACAUGUAUUGCUUUGAAUCUUUGUAUGUUAUUUGCACCCAACCAUUGCUCUUAUUCAUGUUUGUCUAGCAUUGAGAUAGGUGGAUUGAGAAAGUGCCACACUUUUGAACCAUUUGAAUGUCCUUGUUAAUCCUUGUUCAAUAAUUGUUUCAUUGCUUUGGUUGUUUUGGUGAAAACUUUUGUUUAGGGACAAACAAAAUGAUAGUUGGGGAGAGUUGUUAGGGACCAAUUAGUAUACUUUUCAUAUAAUUUUAUUGGUCCCUUUUACCAUUUUCUGAUUUGAAUUACAAACUUUAUCCUCACAAUUUUGUAUAAAUGCAAUUAAGUUUAAGUGAUUAUGUUUUAAGUAGAUAUUUCACGUAUUUGUUAGUUUUGUAGAGUUUUUGGACAAGAGAGCAUUGGAGUGCAUAAGCAUAAUUUGGAUGAAGUUUCAAUGGCAAUUUGGAAGCAUAAUUUGGAAGAAUAACACUUGGGAGAAUUCUUGAAUGAAGCUUGCAAGGCAAGGAAGCUGAAAUUGCUUCAGUCCGCGCCGCGACCAGGGAUGGCACCACGAACCUUGCGAAACCAGCAAGCAUUUUUUUGGGCCAAGUGUUCUGUUUUCAACCCAACUUUAGUGUGACAGUUUUGUAUCAAUUUUAGAGUGCUUUUCAGUUUUAGAUGAAAAUGAACAUUUUAGGAAAGGUUGAACUCUUUAAGAAAACAGAAUGGAAAAAAUAGAAAGAUACACUUUGAUUACAUUAUCGCAGGCUAUGUGUCGAAGGUGCAGAAACUCGUCCAUCUCAUGAAGGGUUGUGGCGUAACCCUAACUGAUAGGAUGAUAGUUGGUAAGUUAAUAUGUAUGUUGACCUUUCACUUUGAUUACAUUAUCGUAGCUAUUCAAGAAUCCAAAAAUGUUGAAACCCUAAAACUGGAAGGUUUGGUUGGUUCGUUGGAGGCGCGUGAGAUUAGGAUUGUCGAAUGAAAUGGAGUUCAAGACUCGAUACAAGCACUAUAGGCUUAGUCAUGGAAGAAGAAUCGUGGUUUCAACAAGUUCAAAGGCAAAAUUGACAAGACUCUGGGCAAGAAGUCUUGGUUAAAUACUCACAAGAAUAAGGUCGGUGAUAGAUCUUAUGAAUCCUCGAAAAGAGAAGAAGGAAAUUCUUGUCAGAAAGACAAAGAAGAAAAAGAAAAAAAGGUGUGCAUUGUUAUAACUGUUAAAAGUGAGGUCACUUGGCCAAGCAUUAUUGGUCCAGAAAAGACAAGGGAUCGACAAAAGGCAAGGAAGAAGGAGCGAACCUUGCACGUCAAGAUUCAGAUGAUUCUGAUGAUAUGGUGGUUAUGCCUACAGUUGUAGAUGACCAUGUCGAAUCCAAGAUCUAGUUCCUUGACUCAGACUGCUCGAAUCAUAUGACUGGUCCAAAAGUAUGGUUAGUAGAUUUUGAAGAGUUGAAGAAGAGCAAGGUUAAACUUAUUGAUAAUAGCUCAUUGCACGCCGAAGGUACUGGUAACAUAGUUAUUUAAAGGAGUAAUUGAGCGAAAGCCUUAAUCAAAGAUGUACUUGGUGUCCCUGGAAUGAAGUGCAAUCUUGUAAGUGUUGGGCAACUGGUUGAAAAGGGGUUCUCAGUGGUUAUGAAAGACGGAGCCUUAGAACUUUUCGACAUCUAGAAUAACUUGGUCUUUAAAUCUCCUUGGCCUAAGAAUAUAACAUUUAAGACCAUGAUCAGUUCGAUUGAGGUACAAUGUCUGAAAACAGUUGUCGAUCACAAAAAUAGUUGGUUGUGGCAUCUGAGGUUUAGUCGUCUGAAUUUUAGGCCGCUCAAUCAACUGAUCACUCAAGAUAUGCUAAUUGGUAUACCAAGUCUUGAGAUUCACAACGAACUCUGUGAAGGUUGUCUAGUUGGAAAGAAAUCCAAGAAGUCUUUCGUUUUGACUAUGCCAAUGAGAUCCUCCUGCAUACUCGAAGUUGUACAUCCAGACGUAUGUGGUCCUUUUGAGGAGCAUAUCAUUGGUGGAAACAAGUAUUUUGUUUUGUUUUUCGAUGAGUUUAUUCGAAGUGGAUCUAUGUGAUCAAGAUAAAGGGCGAAGUAUUUGAAAUCUUUAAAAGAUUCAAGAUGCUUGUCAAAAACCAGAGUGAAAAGAAGAUCAAGGUUCUACGAACAAAUGAAGGUGGUGAAUACACAUCCAAGAUAUUUGAAGCAAUCUCUAAAUAACAUGGUGCUAAUAAUAAGGUAACCGCACCUUGUACUCCUCAACAUAACGGAAUAGCAAAAAGAAGAAAUAAGACCAUAUUGGACAUGGCAAGAUGCAUGCUGAAGCAUAAGAAUUUUCCAAAAUAUUUAUGGGGUGAAGUUGUUUCGACUGUUGUUUAUAUUCUGAACAAGUGUCCUACCAAGAAGCUAUAGAACAAGGUUCCUGAAGAAGCGUGGAGUGGCAAACGACCAUCGGUGAUUCAUCUGAAGGUGUUUGGCUUUAUGUGUUACAAGCAUGUCCCUAAUGCAAGAAGAAGGAAGCUUGAUGACAAGAGUGAACCUAUGACUCUGGUAAGAUAUCAUAAGACUAAAGCAUACAGGUUGUUCAGUCCAAUUAAUUAGAAGAUUAUGAUUAGUCAAGAUAUUGAUUGAUGAAAAUUCUUCUUGGGAUUGGAAUUUUAGUAAUGCAAUUGAUAAGCGAUAUAUGAACUAUGAUUUCGAUGAACCAAGUAAUGAUGUCGAAGUCGAAGAUAUUGUUUAUUUUCCAGUUGAAGUCGAAGUUUUUGCUAACAUUCUCGACACAGUCAAAGUCAGAGACGUCAUGGAUAGCACAAGUCAUAGACCUUAAAGAACUAGAGCUCGCCCAACAAGAUUUCAAGACUAUGAAGUGGUUGGUGAUGAUAAAGUCACAACAGAUGGAGAACUAGUUCAUUUUGCUUUACUUACAGGUGUUAAAUCAAUCAACUAUAGUAGGGAUUUAAAUAAUAUGAAGUGGAAGUUUGAUAUAGGCGAAAAUUUACAAGCAAUCGAGAGAGACAACACAUGGGAAUUGGUCGAAUUGCCAGCAUAUAUAAAAUCUAUCAAAGUUGAAGCACAAUGUUGAUGGGUCAAUAGCAAGACAUAAGGAGAGACUGGUAGCUUGAGGAUUUCUUCUACGAGCAGGACUCGACUACUCUGAAGUCUUUGCACAUGUUGCAAUAUUGGAAACUAUUCUACUAGUGGUAGCCUUGGCAUGUGAACAAGGUUGGUCGACAUUUCACUUAGAUAUGAAAUUGGAACUUUUGCAUGGACCUUUAGAUGAAGGGGUGUAUGUCACAUAACCUCCUGGGUUUGUGAUUCAGGAGGAAGCAAGAAAAGUAUACAAGUUGCACAAAGCGCUUUAUAGUCUCAAGCAGGCACCUAGGGCAUGGAACAAGAAGAUUGACUCAUACUUGGUCGAAUUGAGAUUCGUCAUAUAUAAAUGUGAGUAUGGUGUAUAUGUUCAGGUUAUGGAACAAGAUAUAACAAUCAUCUGCUUAUAUGUUGAUGACUUUCUAAUAAUUGAAAAUAUCUUGAAGAACUUGUCAAAGUUCAAAAAGAUGAUGAAGAAGGAAUUUCAAAUGUCGGAUAUGGGAAAGUUGUCAUACUUCCUAGGCAUGGAAUUUCAAAUGUCGAAGCAAGGUAUGAUGCUACAUCAAAGAAAGCAUGUCAAGGAGAUACUCAAGAGAUUCAGGAUGGAUGAUUCGACUCCUGCAUCUUCGUCUAUCGAACUAAAUUUGAAGUUGCAAAAGCAUGGAGAGGAAGACAAAGUCGAUGCAACUUUGUUCAAACAAAUUUCGGAUCUCUGAGAUAUGUGUGCAACAGUCGAUCUGAUAUAUGUUUUUCAGUCGGAUUAGUGAGAAGAUAUAUGAGUGAACCAAGGGUGUCACGCAUGAAGGUUGCAAGAAGAAUCCUGAGAUACUUAAAAGGAUCGAUAAACUAUGGAAUUUUAUUUCGACGAGACUCUGAAAGCAAAGAAGUUAUGGUUACUUGUUAUUCAGAUGUUGAUUGGUGUGGAGAUAAGAAAGAUCGAAGAAGCACUACUAGAUAUUUCUUUUAAGUAUUUGGUACCUCAAUCUCAUGGUGCUCGAGAAAGCAACUUGUGAUGGAACUAUCAUCGCGUGAGGCUGAAUAUAUAGCAGGAUCAUAUGUUGCAUGUCAAGCAAUUUGGAUCAGAUCUGUGCUGGAAGAGAUCGAGGUCGAAGUGAAGAAUUCUUUGGUACUGCAGAUCGACAACAAGUCAGUCAUAAAUCUUGCAAAGAAUUCAGUUUUGCAUGGAAGAAGUAAGCGCAUAAAAGCUAGAUUUUACUUCUUAAGGGAGAAGGUAAAUCGAGGUGAACUUGAAGUAAGACAUUGCUCAAGUGAAGCACAAUUGACCGACAUUUUCACCAAAGAAUUGAAGAUCGACAGGUUCCUAACGCUUAAAAAGAAAUUUAGGAAUAGUUUAGUGUGUUUCAACAACUUGGAUUAUAAUGAAGUAUGUUGGGAUAUUAGAUAUAAUUCAAGUUGAGUUAUGUGGCCCCAAGUCUGAAGCUAAUUAGGAUUUAUGAUUUAUUAUUUAAUUUGUUAUUUUACUUAGUAUUCAAGUCAUUUAGAUAUAUAUAAAUUGACCCUUUGUAAUUCAUAAUUAACAUUUAAUUUAAUAAUAUAAUUCUUAUUUUUUUAUUCUCUUUUUUUCUCAUCAUUAAAAGUGUCUCAAACACUAACAAGAACAUGAGGUUGUGUUGCUGAAGAUUCUUGUUCAUGAGAUCUAGUUUGGUCGUUUUAGUUUGUGCUUGCUUUUGUGUUUUCUAUCCUCUUUAUUUGGUUUUCUUGUUUUUUUUCUUGUUUUUUUUAGCGAGGCUCUUGGGCACUUCUUUGUGUCGUCAUGUUCCUUUAUAUUUUGACUCUUUAUAACCUUUAUUGUUAUAUUUAUUUGUCCUUAAAAAAUAUAAAAAUUAGAAAUUUUCCUAACUUAUCAAUCGCAAUUCCAAUUUUUUUCAUAAACUCUUUUACACUCAUAAGUGUCAUGCGCUAUUUCAAUCUAAAUUUUAUAUAAAAAUAUAUUUUAUUUGAUUGAUUAUUAAUGUAAUUCAAAGCCAUGCGACUAGGGAUGUGCAAAAAAAAACGAUUAUUCAUAAUCAAAUUUGUAUCUAAAUUGUUUCACUUUUAAAAAUUCAAUCCAAAUGCUAAAAUAUAAAUAUGGGUAUCCAUUUUGUUAUCCAAAUAUAAAUCGGUAAUCAUAAUAAUAAUGUAAUUUAGUUAUUGGGUACCCAAAUUUUAUUAUGUGUUAAAUUGAUAGGUUUGCUUCUUUUCAUUUUUUAUCAUAUAGACAUAUAUACAUUAUAAACUAUUUAUAUUUUAUUAAUUCUUUUAAAUUUCAUAAAAGAAAAAUCAGAAAAAAAUUUAGAAUAAAAAAAUAGUUUUUUUUUUAUUUACGAAAAAAAUAUUAUAUUUUGAAAACAAUUAUAUUCCAAAUACAUACCACCACAAUAUUGUUUAAUAUAAGAUCUAGAAAUAUUGCAGCCGAUAAGCUAUAGGAGUUUCUCGGAGCUUAUUAUCUUCAAUAUAAUUCAUAGGUUUUAUAAUAUAAAUAUUUGUUUCUAAUUGUUGUAUGUUGUUAGUCUACAAGUUAAAUGUAUUAAUAUCAGUUGAGAAUGUGGUUUUCAAAUUAUAUUUUUAACAUUUAAGUCCCAUGGGAAAACUAAUGUUUUUCCCAUGGGAAAACUAAUGUUUUUCAAAGUGAAGAAAUUAAAGUUUUAUAUAAGUUCAUUUAGUUUUUACUUUUUAUAGAAUUUCUUAAAGGUGUCAACGUAUGCAACAUCCGAGAAUACGGUUUCAACACUUCCACUUACAUUAGAGAUUUUUGAAAUUUGAAAAAAAAAUUGACAAAUUAUUUAUUUUAUGAACAAUUAUGAGAGAUUUUAGAAACUUGAACAAUUUUUCUAAUGAACUAUUUAUUUUAUGAACAAUUAUGAUUUAUAGAGAUAUGAUUCGUAAUUAUUUUAUUUUAUGACCAUUUUUAUGUAACACAUCAUAUUUUGAGAUUGUUUUUAAUCGAGAUAUUAUUUGUGGGGAUUAUAAAAGUCAAAUUUAAAAUAAUUUUUUAAAAUAAAUAUUUUUUUUACAUAAAAUAGUUUUUAUAAGUAGUGAAAAUAAAAAAGUUAGUUAAAAGAAAAUAAUUUUUUUUUAUAUAAAAUUGAUUUUUUAAAAAUAUAGUUUUAAAAACUAUUUUUUUUAUAAAAUUGAUUUUGAAAUUGAUUUUUUUAAGAAAAUAAAAAAUUAGUUUUAAAGAAAUUGAUUUAAAACUAUUUUUUUUUUAACUGUUUUUUUUUUUUUGAAAAACCGGUUUAAAACCGAUCCACUUAUAAACCGGUUUUAAAAAAAUAAAUUGAAUUUAUGAAAAUAGUUUUAAGAUCCAAACCGAACCAUAUAUAUGAUUCAAUUUGAUUUGGUUUAUGAUCCAUGCACACCCUUACCUGCGACAAUGCCAUAAUGGAGUAUGUCCUUCUUUUAUUUUUUUUUAUCAAAAUAGAGUGUGGUCGGUGAACCAAAAGACAUACAUCUUUUAGGCCGAAGAAGAAGACUAGUAUAAUAAGAAUAGAGAAAAUAAAUGAUAUACUGAAUUUAUUUUAUAUUAUCAAUCAAUAACGAUGAUGUAUCUCGUCAAAUAAGAUUGAAAAAUUUAAAAUAUUAUAUAAUAUAGCAAAAUAAUAUAUUUGUAUUGAAUGUAUUUGUAUAACUUUCAUUAUUAAACUGAUAUGAAUAAUUGAAAAACAACUGUACUAAUUAAUAAAUUCACCCAAAUGAGCUAAUUAACAAUAAACAGGUCUAUGAUUCAUUUAGAUAAAUUUAAAUCUAUUGUAUUUUGUUUGCAACAACUAACUUUGAGACUAGUUUAUUUUUUUAGAGGGUAGGUGAGUUAUGAUCAUUUCUACCAAACAUUUUAUUUUAAUACAUAAUUCUCAUCACCAAAGUUGGUGGUGGCAUUCAACGAAGGCAUGACUAUUUUUUUGUUUUGUUUAGAAAUUUACAUCACUAUCUUCUUAAUACAAAACUAUAUAUCCUUAAUUGGUAACAUCACUAUUUUAUAAUAAUAUUUUUAGUUUUCUUUUAUUCUAACAGUCAAACUUGUUGGGUGGAAUGUUCAUGUGCACGCUGCACGAAGUUACGUUUUUCAUUCUUCCAUAAAUUUAAUCCAUUUGAAUAUAUGAUACAAUAGAAAAAGUCAAUAAUUAAUAGUAUGUAGUUUGACUUAAUUAACAACCCUUUCAAUAGUUUAAGGAAUUCUGAUUUUUCUACUCAACAAGAGGAUGCCGUUUGAUUUUCUACAAGGGGCUGCUGCAUGCUAUAUGCUUGUCUUUUACACAACAACAUCUACUUUUCCAAUUUUAGAUAGCAACUUUUUUUUAUAAAAGAUAUUAUUAUUGAACUAUCCUAAUAAUUAAACAAUUGAUAUUUUUAAUUUUAAUGUUUUUUGGUACGUGUCAUUAUUGAAUCCGUCUUAGAAUUAUUUUAAUAUUAAAAUAUGGGUAGUAAUAACCAAAAAUAAAAUUAUUGACCAUGCUAUGUUCAUUUAAGUUUUUACUAAUAAUUUUAGAAAAUGAUCACCCUUCAUAGUAAAUUGAAUUCAACUAAAGUGCGGAUUUAGAGAAUGGACAAUUGAUUUCUAAAAAAAAUCGGUGCAUAAUAUUUGAAGACAACAAACUUAAGAAGCUCAUAACUGGAUGAAGAAAUUUAAUUAGAGUUUAGGAUUUAUUAUUUAGUUUGUUAUUUUACUUAGUAAUCAAGUCAUUUAGAUGUAUAUAAAUAGACACUUUGUAUUUCAGUUUUAUUAUUCAUUCAAUUCAAUACAAUCUUUAUUUUUUUAUUCUCUCUUUCUCUUCUCACUAAAAGUGUCUCAAGCACUAAAAAUUGGUAUCUAGAAUUCCAGUUAGAUUCUUGAUCGUGUUUUCGGGAUUGUGGGUUGUUGUUGAUCAAUCACUGCAAAGAUGAAUGGUAACAGAAAUUUAUCAAACUCCCUUCCAACUCUUAACGACAAGAAUUGGCUUCGAUGGAAAAAACAAAUGGAAUCACUAUUUGGCUUUCAUGAAACCCUAAAAGUGGUUAUUAAUGGUGUUCCUGCGGUUGGUGAAGAUUCAACUGACGCACAGAGAAACGCUCACAAGGAUGCCAAGAAAAAGGAUUGCAAUGCGCCAUUUUACAUCCAAUUGCAGUUGAUGCGGAAAACUUCGACAUAAUCGCUCAUGCUAAAUCGGCGAAGGAGGCGUGAGAUAUUCUUGUCUAGUACUAUGAAGGAGGCGAGAAAGACAAGAUUGUCAAGUUGCAAACUUUGCGAUGACAAUAUGAAUUGUUGUCGAUGUAAGAAGACGAAAAGAUUGUAGGUUAUGUUUCGAAGGUGCAGAAACUAAUCUAUCUCAUGAAGGGUUGUGGUGAAACCAUAGCUGAUAAUAUGAUAGUUAAGAAGGUAAUGCGUACGUUGACCUCUCACUUUGAUCAUGUUAUCAUAACUAUUCAAGAAUCUAACAAUCUUGAAACCCUAAAACUGGAAGAUUUGGUUGGUCCGUUGGAGGCGUGUGAGAUUAGGAUUGUCGAAAGGAAAGGAGUUUAAGACUUGAUACAAGCACUACAGGCCCAGUCAUUGAAGAAGAAUGGUGUUUCAAACAAGUUUAAAGGAAAAAUCGAUAAGACUCUGGGCAAAAAGUCUUGGUCGAAUCCUCACAAGAAUAAGGUCGAUGAUAGAGCUUCUAAAUCCUCGAAAAGAGGAGAAGAAAAUUCCUAUCAGAAAGAUAAAAAAGAGAAACAAGGUGUGUAGUGCAUUAAUUUUGAAAAGUUGGGUCACUUGGCCAAGCAUUUUUGGCACAGGAAAGAUAAAGGAUCGAUAAAAGUCAAGGAUGAAGGAGCGAACCUUGCACGUCAAGAUUCAGAUGAUUCUGAUGAUAUGGCGGAUAUGGUUGUAGUUGCAGAUGACCAUGUCGAAUCCAAGAUCUGGUUCCUCGACUCAGGCUGCUCGAAUCACACGACUAGUCGAAAAGUAUGGUUAGUAGAUUUUGACGAGUCGAAGAAGAGCAAAGUCAAACUUGUUGAUAAUAGCUCGUUGCAAGCUAAAGUAUUGGCAACAUAGUUAUUUAAAGGAGUAAUGGAGCGAAAUUCUUGAUCAAAGAUGUACUUUAUGUCCCUGGAAUAAAGUGCAAUUUGUUAAGUGUUAGAUAACUGGUCGAAAAAGGGUCCUUAGUGGUUAUGAAAGAUGGAGCCUUAGAACUUUUCGACAUCCAUAAUAACUUGGUCUUGAAAUAUCCUUUGUCGAAGAAUAGAACAUUUAAGACCAUGAUCAGUUCGAUUGAGGUACAAUCUCUAAAAACAGUUGUCGACCAUAAAAAUAUUUGGUUGUUGCAUCUGUGGUUUGGUCAUCUGAAUUUUAGGUCGCCCAAUCAAUUGAUCACUCAAGAUAUGGUAACUGGUAUACCAAGUCUUGAGAUGCGUAACAAACUCUGUUGAGGUUGUCUAGUCAGAAAGUAGUCCAAGAAGUCUUUCGUUUCGACUAUACCAAUAAGAUCAUCAUGCAUACUCGAAGUUGUACAUUCAGAUGUAUGUGGUCCUUUUGAGAAGCAUACCAUUGGUGGAAACAGGUUUUUUUUUUCAUUUGUCGAUGAGUUUAUUCAAAAUUUAUGGAUCUAUGUGAUCAAGAGAAAGGAUAAAGUAUUCGAAAUCUUUAAGCGAUUCAAAAUGCUUAUCAAAAACCAGAGUGAAAAGAAGAUCAAGGUGUUGCAAACAGAUGGAGGUGGCGAAUACACAUCCAAUAUAUCUGAAGCAUUAUGUUCAGAACAUGGUGUUGAUAAUGAGGUAACUUCUCCUUAUACUUCUCAACAUAAUGGUAUAGAAUAAAGAAGAAACAUGACCAUAUUGGACAUGGCGAGAUGCAUGUCGAAGUAGAAAAAUUUUCCAAAAUCUUUAUAGGGUGAAGUUAUUUUGACUGUUGUUUAUAUACUGAAUAGGUGCCCUACCAAGAACUUGAAGAACAAGGUUCCUAAAGAAGCGUGAAGUGGAAAAAGACCAUCAGUGAGUCAUCUGAAGGUGUUUGGCUCUAUGUGUUACAAGCAUGUUCUUGAUGCAAAAAAAAGGAAGCUUGAUGAAAAUAGUGAACCUAUGAUUCUGGUAGGAUACCAUAUUACUAUAGCAUACAGGUUAUUUAAUCCAAUUAAUCAGAAGAUUACAAUUAGUCGAGAUAUUGUGAUUGAUGAAAAUUCUGCCUGGGAUUGGAAUUCUAGUAAUGCAACUGUCAAGCCAUUGAUGAGCUAUGAUUUUGACGAAGCAAGUAAUGAUGUCGAAGUCGAAGAUAUUAUCAAUAUUCCAGUUGAAGUUGUUGCUGACAUAUCUGAAACAUACAAGGUCAUAGAGGUUAUGGCUAGCACAAGUUAGAGACCUCAAAGAACUAGAGCUCGUCCAACAAGACUUCAAGACUAUGAAGUGGUUGGUAAUGAUGAAGUCACAACAGAUGUAGAACUAGUUCAUUUUGCUUUACUUGCAAGUGUUGAACCAAUCAACUAUAUCGAGGCUUUAAAGAAUAUGAAGUGGAACUCUGAUAUGAUUGAAAAGUUACAAGCAAUCGAAAGAAAUAACACAUGGGAUUUGGUCGAAUUUUCAGCAUAUACAAAAGUUAUCAAAGUGAGGUGGGUGUUCAAAUUGAAGCACAAUAUUAAUGGGUCAAUAGCAAGACAUAAGGCAAGACUGGUAGCUCGAGGAUUUCUUCAACGAGCAGGACUCGACUACUCUAAAGUCUUUGCACCUGUCGCAAGAUUGGAAACUAUUCGACUAAUGGUAGUCUUGGCAUGUGAGCAUGGCCAGUCAAUAUUUCACUUAGAUGUGAAAUUGGAAUUUUUGAAUGGAUCUUAUGAUGAAGAGGUAUAUGUCACAUAACCUCUUGGGUUUGUGAUUCAAGAUGAAGCAAGGAAAGUAUACAAGUUGCACAAAGCGCUUUAUGGUCUCAAGCAGGCACCUAGGGCAUCGAACAAGAAUAUUGACUCAUACUUGGUCGAAUUGAGAUUCGUCAUAUGAAAAUAUGAGUAUGGCGUCUAUGUUCAGGCAGUGGCACAAGAUAUAACAAUCAUCUACUUAUAUGUUGAUGACUUGCUAAUAACUGGAAAUAGCUUGAAGAACUUGUUAAAGUUCAAAGAGCCGAUGAAGAAGGAAUUUGAAAUGUUGGAUCUUGGAAAGUUAUCAUAUUGCCUAGGCAUGGAGUUUCAAAUGUCGAAGAAAGGUAUGGUGUUACGUCAAAGAAAGUAUAUCAAGGAGAUACUCAAGAGAUUCAAGAUGGAUGAUUCGACUCUUGCAUCUUCGCCCAUCGAACCAAAUUUGAAGUUGGAGAAGUAUGGAGAGGAAGACAAAGUCGACACAACUUUGUUCAAACAAAUUGUCGGAUCUCUGAGAUAUGUGUGCAACAGUUCACCUGAUAUAUGUAUCUCAGUCAAAUUAGUGAGCAGAUAUAUGAGUGAGUCAAUGGUGUCACACAUGAAGACUUCAAGAAUAAUCCUGAGAUACUUAAAAGGAUUGACAAACUAUGGAAUUUUAUUUCGAUGAAACUCUAAAAGAAAAGAAGUUAUGGUUACUUGUUAUUCAAAUGUUGAUUGGUAUGGAGAUUAGGAAGAUCUAAGAAGCACUACCGGGUAUUUCUUUCAAGUAUUUGAUGCCCCAAUCUCAUGGUGCUCGAGAAAGUAACCUGUAUUAGCAUUAUCAUCGUGUGAGGCUGAAUAUAUAGCAGAAUUUUAUAUUGCAUGUCAAGUAAUUUGGAUCAUAUAUAUGCUGGAAGAGAUUGAGGUCGAAGUGAAGAAACCUCUAGUACUGCAGAUCGACCACAAGUCACCCAUAAAUCUUGUAAAAAAUCCAGUUUUUCAUGGAAGAAGUAAGCACAUAUAAGCUAAAUUCCACAUCUUAAGGGAGAAGGUGAAUCGAUGUGAACUUGAAGUAAGGCAUUGCUCAAGUGAAGCACAAUUGACCGACAUUUUCAUCAAAAGAUUGAAGAUUGACAAGUUCCUAACAUUGAGAAAGAAAUUAAGAAUAGUUCAAAUCGUCAAUGAUUAGUGUGUUUCGACAACUUGGAUUAUAUGGGGGUAUAUUGAGAUAUUAGAUAUAAUCCAAGUUGAGUUAUGUGGCACAAGCCCGGAGCUAAUUAGGUUUUAGGGUUUGUUACUUAGUUUGUUAUUUUACUUAGUAGUCAAGUCACUUAGGUGUAUAUAAAUAGACACUUUGUGAUUCAGUUUUAUUAUUCCUUCAAUUCAAUAAUACAGUCUUUAUUUUCUUAUUCUCUCUUUCUAUUCUCACUAAAAGUGCCUUAAGAGCUAACAUACAUUAGAUACUUAUUUAAUAAGCAAUUAAUUAUUUAACAAACUAAACAGAAAACUAACUUUAUGACUAAAUUCUUCUUCCUUUUGAAAUAGCCUCCCGCAAGUUAAACUUUGAUAAAUAUUGGCCACAUUCAACUUGGGCAUAAGAAAAUUGAAAAUGACUUGGUGAAAAUGUGUGUUAUAUGAUUAUGAGAAGAAAUAGGAAUCACCUUUAUAGCUCUUGCUUGGAAUUUCUCCCUAACAAUAUGGCAAUAUAUCUCAUGAUGCUUAUUCCUUUAAUGAAAGACUGUAUUUGCAGCUAUAUGAAAUGCACUUUGGCUCACAAUAUAAAAUGAGUGGCUUAGACGAGUCGAAUUGUAAAUUAAGCAACAAAUAUAAGAUCCACUAAGGCUCACAUGCUAAAGCAGACAAAGUUGUAUAUUCAACUUCAUAUGACGGUCUUGACACAAUACUUUCCUUUUUAAUUUCUGUGAAAUGAGAGAAGAACCAAUGGCCUGACAUAGAUCUUCUGGUAUCAAUACACUCUGUCCAACCAGCAUUGAGAAAGCUUGUAAAUGUAUAAUUGAACUUCUAUGGAAUAUUAACACUCAACCACGACAAUGCUUAAAGUACCUUAAAACUCUACAAGCAGCAUUGUAAUGAACAAUGGAAGGAUUGGAAAAAAUUAGUUUAGUUUUGAGUGAUGAAUUUGAUAUAUGGUAUAGUAGUGUUAAGGUACAUAAGUAUGUCAAUGGGUAUUUUAAAUGAUGGUAUUAUUGGACAAGUGACUUCAACACAAAAAAGAUGGCGGAUUGUGUUUGUUUGAAAUACAGUGUUCAAAUAAAAUAUCUUUGAUAAAAUUAGAGUUUAAAAUAAGUUUGUAUAACAAACAAGAAAUAACCAACAGAAUAAAAAAAUCAGAAUGGAAAGAAAUAAAUACAUCAGAAGUAAAUAAAUGACUAAAAUUUAAAGAGAUAAGGUAAGAUAAAACUGCAUUAUAGAUUUAUAGAGGUUCGUGCCUAACCAUUUGAUGUACUCCUCUCUCCACAGACCUCCUUAAAAUAGCCUGGAGUUUUACAUUGGCUAUCCUCCAAAGCAAACAGGAGUUUUAACUAUGGAGACUCCCAACCAAACCCGAUAUUUUAACACCAAUACUAUCUUGAAUCAAACGAGAGAUUUUGACACAAGUCUAAUCUCAAGAACCAAACGAGAGAUUUUAACUCCAAGCUAAGAUCACGAACUAAACGCGAGAUUUUACCAGGUUGAUCUCGAAAACCAAACAUAGAUUUUACCAAGUUCACCUCAACAAUCAAAGAAGAGAUUUUUAAUAUAUUUAGCUCAUAACCAAAAUAACAUUCUCAUAAGAAAAAUAUUAUAACAAUGUCUGACACCGAAUCAAACUACCUCACAAAUAAAAAUUCACUCUCGAAUUGAGCUAUUUGGUGAAAUAAUUGAUGAAUCAAUUAUGGAACAAAUGGGUGAACUUAUGUCGGACUUGUUAUGCAAGUCACUACAAUAUUCCAAAUUCCAAAUUAUGUGAGCCAGGUGGAUUUUGAAUUUGAUAUGGAAAUAUAUGUUGAUGAAAGAUAACAUUCUUAGAUAUAAAAAUUUCUUGUGAAUGAAGGUUUAAUAAGAUUAAACCUUUGAAACCAACAACAUAUCCUAAAAAUAAUGAUUAAUUUGCUUUUCAAACAAGUUUAGUCAUGUGGUUUUGUGAAGUACAAAUAUAACAAGGGGAACUAAAAUCUUUUAUUUGACUCAUUAGGUAGAGAAUCAUUGAGCAUUUUAUAGGGUUAUUUAACAGAAAAAUUAUUGGAACUAGACUUACAAUUUGGUGAAUCAUCGAUUUGAGUACCACCAUUAAUCAUAAGUCUGUAUAAUCCUUCAAUUUGACUAGUCAAACAAAUCUUCUUUUGUGAUUUCGAAUCCUACAAGAGCCAUUUAUUAUUAAAAAGUGAUAAACAAAAUUAAGAGAAUAACAUAGUUUAGGAACUCACAUGAAAUUCAAAGAAAAGAUGAGAUUGUAUAAUACAUAUGUCAAGGAAAGUUUAGGUGAAAGGUAAUCGUGCCAUCCUAUUUAGCUAUAAUAGAAGAAUCAUUGAAAAGACGUACAAUUGUCACACUCUUUAUAAUAAAAAUAUUGACAUUUGCACUAAAGUAAUGGUCUUUGUAUUUGGUUUGCAGUCCAAUUUUAAAACUUGUUUAUUUUUUUAGGGUAGGUGGGUUAGGCUCAUUUCUACCACCAUUCUUAUUUUAUUGAACAAUUUUUAUCAUUAAAGUUGGUGGCGAUGCAUGGGAUAUAAUAUAUACUAGUUAGUUAGUAAGUAAUAAUACACACAUCUUUGACUUUUUUUUGUUUUUUUCAUGAAUUUGUAAGUUGUAUUUCUAUCUUUUUAAUUAUUUGAGAAAAAAACAAUAAUGUUAAGUAACAAACCCCUAAGGGUUGGUUGUAACAAACCCCUAAGGGUUGGUUGUGUUUCUCUUAAAAUUUUAGAUUUGAAUCUUGCUGGAUGUUAAUCAUUCUUAUGUUUGAUCAAUCCAUAUAGAAUUUUGUUCAAACUUUAAAUAGGUCACCGCUAAUGGACGAUGGGAUUGGUUCUUUUGAAUUAGUCAAUUGUAAUGCCAUAUAUCAAUAUUUUUAUUUAAAAAACUAGUAACAUCUCUCUUUCAUAACAAUGAGUGGAUUAUAGAUUUAGAUUGUACUUGGCACAUUAAUCCAAACAAAGAUGUGUUUGAAGAAUUAUGUGAUCAAGAAGGUGGAUCAGUGCUGCUAAAAAAUAAUAAAGCCUACAAGAUUGCAAGGAUUAGAUCUGUGAGAUUCAAGCUUCAUGAUGAAACCAUAAGGUUGUUGACAUAUGUCAGGUAUGUACCUGAUCUAAAGAGAAAUUUUAUUUCUCUGGGUGAAUUCGACAAGAAAUGAUAUAUUUUCAAAGGAGAUCAUGGUAUCUUGAGAAUCAUGAAGGGGCCGAAGGAAGAAUGACUUGUAUUCCCUUGAAGCUGAGGUCAUAAGUAGGUCAGUUGAUAUCGCGUCAUCAAAGCACUUGACAAAGACUGAGUUAUGGAACAUGAGAUUUGGCCAUGUCAAUGAAAAAGGUCUGGUUGAAUUAGAAAAGUAAAAUCUAUUAGGUAGUGACAAGGUCAAAAAGCUGAAGAUUUGUGAACCAUGUGUAUUUGGCAAAGCUUGUGGAGUGAAGUUCAACAAAGGCCAAAAAAGAACAAAUUAAUCUCUUUAUACAUCCAUGCUGAUCUUUGGGGACUUACAAGAAAUCCAUCACACUCGGGUGCAAGUUAUUUUCUAUCCAUAGUUGAUGAUUACUCUAGAAAGUUAUGAAUAUUCAUUUAGAAAACUAAGGAUGAGACUUUUGAGAACUUCAAAAGUUGGAAAACUUUGGUGGAAAUUUAGAAUGGAAGGAAGGUCAAGAGGUUAAGGACAAAUUAUGGCAUUGAGUUUUGAAAUGAUUCAUUUAAAAGUUAGUGUGUUAUGUCUAGGACUACAAGGAACAAAACUGUUACAAGUACACCCCGGAAAAAUGGUCUGGCUGAAAGUUUUAGUCGAACUAUCUUUGAACGGGUGAGGUGCAUGUUGGUUAGUGUUACGUUGAAUAAGGUGUUUUAGGCUUAGGUUGUUGUGACUGCAGCACACCUGAUAAAUAGGUGUCCCUCAACUGCCUUGGGGAUGAAGACAUCUGAGGAAGUCAGGUCAGGUCAUCCACAAAAUCUCGACAGGCUUAGAGCAUUUGGUUGUGUAUCAUAUGCUCACAUUUGACAAGACAAAGUCAAAUCUAGAGUUAUGAGAUGCAUGUUACUUGGGUAUCCUGAGGGAGUCAAAACUUAUAAGUUAUGGUUCCUAGAACCUGGUCACAAGAGGUGCAUCAUUAGUCGUGAUAUAGUUUUCAAUGAAUUUGAGAUGGACUUUAAGAAAAUUGAUUAUGGUGUGGUUAGUUGAAAGAUCUUUGAAUAAGAAGAAAAGAAGGAAGAAGUUCUUGUUGAGGUAAAUCACUUAGGAAAUGAAGUGCACAAUCAUGGGGGAAAUCCAGAUGAAGUUGUUGAAGAAGCACAGGAUACUGAAGAAAAUGAGGAAACUGUUGAUGACUACCUGUUGGCAAGAGACUGGUCAAGAAGACACAUUAAGCCACCUCAAGGGUUUGGUUAUGCAUACCUCAUAGUCUUUGCCUUAAUUUCAGCAAGUGAGGUUUUCGAUGAAAAACCUAGAGAUUACAAAGAAACUAUGAGGAGUUGAAUUAAGAAGAAAUGGUUGAAAGUCAUGGAUGAUGAGAUAAAAUCUCUUCAUGAUAACCACACCUGGAAGCUGGUCAAAAAACCUGUUGGGGCUAGGUUAGUCAGCUGUAAAUGGAUUUUCGAAGUAAAGGAAGGAAUUGAAUGAGUUAUGUUGAAAAGGUUCAAGGCAAUACGGGUUGCAAGGGGCUUCACUCAAAAGGAAGGAGUGGACUUCGAUGAUGUACUAUCUUCUGUUGUGAAGCAUAGAUUCACUAGAAUGCUUUUUGCCAUGGUGUUUAGGUUCGACAUAGAAUUGAAGCAGAUGAGUAUGAAGACUUCCUUCUUAUAUGUUGAUCUCGAUGAAACGAUCUUGAUGAAGCAAACUGAAGGGUAUGAAGAAAAAAGUAAGGAUAUGUGCAAGCUGGACAGGUCACUAUAUGGCCUGAAGCAAUCUCCUAGGCAAUGGAACAGGAGAUUCGGCAAGUUUAUGACACAUAUGGAGCAACUUCGAUCAUUGUGUCUAUUUUAUGUUCUUGCCAGAAAAUUCAUUUGUCAUCUUAUUGCUCUAUGUGGAUGACUUCCUUAUAGCAAGCAACCCCGUCGAAGAAGUAAUGAGGGUGAAGUCUGAACUUAAUUAGGAAUUUAAAAUGAAGGACAUUGGAGUUGCAACCAGGAUUCUAGGUAUCUACAUCAAGAGAGAUAAAAAACUGUCAAAAUUAUGUUUAUCUCAAGAGUCAUAUCUAAGGAAAAUUUUCGACGGGUUUGGUAUGUCAAACUCAAAACUUGUUAUAACGCCAACAACUUAGCAAUUCAAGCUGAGUAUAACUCAAAUUCCUAGUACUGGAGCUGAAAGUGCUUAUAUGAAUAGGAUUUCAUAUGCUAGUAUAGUGGGUUCUUUGAUGUAUGAUGUGGUAUGUAUCAUGUCAUACAUAGCUUAUGCAGUAAGCCUUGUAAGUAGAUACAUGUCUAACCCUGGAAAAGCUCAUUGGCAAGCUUUGAAAUGAAUUCUAAGAUACAUAAAAGGAUCCCUGAGUAAGGUCCUAAUUAAUGGUGGAAUCAGAGGUCGGGUUGACCAAAGGAAAAUCGAAGGAUUUAUGGACUCUAACUAUGUAGGAUUGUAUGGACACCAAAAAAUCUCUUAUGUCUCUUCGGAAAUUAAACGAUUUCUUUUCGAUAGUAUUACUUUAUUCUUAGCAUUGAAUUUCUCAACAAUAUUUAUAUUAAUCCUAGUAAAAAAUCAGUUCCACUAUUUGAAUAAGGUAAAAUAGAAUUAAAUAAAAAAAUGUAUUCUUCCUAAGUCAGAGAAAGAAAAAUGAUUCUAACUGAUGGAAAUAUAGAGACUUAAUACCACGUUAUUAUCAAUUAAGAAUAUAUAGUAUAUGUCCACAAAUUAAUAGACAAAAGAUCGCCAGCAUAUUUCUAAACAAAACAAAAAACAGUCAAAGUUACUAUAUAUAACAUAUACAUGCAUAGUUGGACUAUGUAUGCCGCCACAAACUUUAGUGAUAAGAAUAUUAUUCAAUCAAAUAAAACGAAAUGGUGGUAGACAUGAUCAUAAUCCACCUACCCUCUAAACAACAAAUAGAAUAUUAAUGCUAGUGCCCAUUUUUUUAUCAUAAAGAAUGUAACAUUUUUUAGCUAUAUAUAAAGGUUGCAACCAAGGUUCAGUCCUCAUCAAACAUAAUACCUCAAAUUGAAACAACCUUAACUUGAACCUUCUCAACCAACAAAAACAACAACAUGGGCAGUGUUGAAAUUCCGACAAAGGUUCUUACCAACACAUCUGCUCAAAUUAAGAUGCCUGUGGUUGGAAUGGGAUCAGCACCUGACUUCACAUGCAAGAAAGACACCAAAGAAGCAAUCAUUGAAGCCAUCAAACAAGGUUACAGACACUUUGAUACUGCUGCUGCUUAUGGCUCCGAACAAGCUCUCGGUGAAGCUUUGAAUGAGGCUAUUCAACUUGGUCUUGUCACUAGAGAACAGCUUUUUGUUACUUCUAAACUUUGGGUUACUGAAAAUCAUCCUCACCUUGUUCUUCCUGCUCUACAAAAAUCUCUCAAGUAAGUAAACUAGAAUUAGUCACUUUUGUUAUCUCUAUCGUGAAAGAGACUUAUUGGAUUUGUUGAUUAUUUUGUGCAGGACUCUUCAGUUGGAUUACUUGGAUUUGUAUUUGAUUCAUUGGCCACUUAGUUCUCAGCCUGGAAAGUUUUCAUUUCCAAUUGAUGUGGCUGAUCUAUUGCCAUUUGAUGUAAAAGGUGUGUGGGAAUCCAUGGAAGAAGCUUUGAGACUUGGACUCACGAAAGCUAUUGGUGUCAGUAACUUCUCUGUCAAGAAACUUCAAAAGCUACUAUCUGUUGCCACUGUUCUUCCUGCUGUUAAUCAAGUAAGUCAUUAACCAAACAUCAAUUUAGAUUAAAACUUUGAUUGAUUAUCAAUAUUAUUUAUAUAAUGUACUUGUGUAUGUAUGUAUAGGUAGAGAUGAACCUUGCAUGGCAACAAAAGAAGCUGAGAGAAUUUUGCAAUGAAAAUGGAAUAGUGUUAACUGCAUUUUCACCGUUGAGGAAAGGUGCAAGCCGAGGAGCAAAUGAGGUUAUGGAGAAUGAUAUGCUUAAAGAGAUUGCAGAUGCUCAUGGAAAGUCUGUUGCACAAAUUUCUCUGAGAUGGUUAUAUGAACAAGGAAUCACUUUUGUUCCAAAGAGCUAUGAUAAGGAGAGAAUGAGUCAAAAUUUGAGAAUCUUUGAUUGGACACUGACAAAGGAGGAUCAUGAGAAAAUUGAUCAAAUUAAGCAGAAUCGUUUGAUCCCUGGACCAACCAAGCCAAGUCUCAAUGAUCUUUGGGAUGAUGAAAUAUAAAAGAAAAGUUGCUAAAGUUAUUCAACUUUGCUUUGGCAUCUAUCUUUUCUGUUUAUUUUAUACUACUUGUUUCUUUUGAGCUUUGAAUUACCAAUGUUUUUGUAUUGGGUUUAAAUGAUCAAUUUUAAAUUUAAUAAUUUUCUCCAACAUAUCUUAUAAUAGUGUUUUACUUUACUGUCAUGAAAAUUGUAAUUUUUUUUAUCAAAAAAAAUUGUAUUGACUUGAUUAUACAAUUCAAUUAUAGGAUGUGUGUCCAACAAGUAAUAAUAUUAUACUAAGAAGUUGAAAGAGUGGUAUACAACUAAUAUCAAAACUUAAGAAUGCAUAAUCACCACAUUAUAACCCAACAAGCAGAAUGGUAGUUUGCAUUAUAUUUAAGAAAUUUAUGUUCAUGAUAGUGUGAAUGAGAAAUCAAUGAAAUUGUCCCAUGUAGAAAUGAGCAGUGCUAUAAACACUAAUUUGUUGAAUCCAUUUUUAAAAUGUUCAAUCUAAAUCAUAAUGGGCAACAAGAGUCAUGAUUGUCCUAAAAUAAUCUUUCGAUGAAACCGGCGAGAAAGUAUCUUUAAAGCCAAUCUCUUCCUUUUGAGUAUAAUCCUUAACAACAAGAUGGGUUUUAUACAUUUCCACAUUAUCGUUAAAAUCCUGCUUGGUCUUAAAAAUUCAUUUGCAACCAAUUGGUUUCACACCUUAUGGUAACAGGACAAGUUCCCAAACUUUAUUGUCUUGCAUGGACUUAUACCCCUCCUUCAUUGCUUCAAUUCACUUUUCCAAGUUGUAAUCUUGCAUGGAUUGAGGAAAGUUGAUUGGAUCAUCUUCCAUCAUACCAUUAUUUUCCUCAUGUUCUUGGAGAAAGAAUAUGUAAUCAUCCGGAAUAGCAUUUCUCCUUUCUCUAGUGGAUCUCCGCAAAGGUAUUGGUUCUUGUAACACUGGUUCUUGAGAAUCUUGAGUUUGUUCUUCAUGAAUUACUAAAUCAUCUUGAGUUUGAGGAAUUUCAACAAUUUCUUGUUGAGGUGUCGUUCUUACUUGAUCAAAAGCAACUAUUUGAAUUGGUUCUGGAAUUGUUAUAGAUUUUUCCUCUAAGACAAAGUCUCUAACCUUAUUAUUCCCCCCAAACUCAAUAUCCUCAAAAAAUAUGGUUGUUCCCGUCUCCAAAAUUGAAUUGAAUUUGGGAUCGUAAAAUUUGUAGCCCCUAGAUCUUUCAGAAUAGUCAAUAAAGUAGUUGCUUAUUGUUCGGGAGUCCAAUUUAUUUUCAUUUGGCAUGUAAGGUCUUAACUCAACUAGACAUCCCCACACAUGAAAAAAAAUUAGACUAGGCUUUCUCCUAGUCUAAAGCUCGUAAGGUGUUAUGGCAGUUGCCUUUAUUGGUACUCUAUUUAGGAUGUAAGUUGCAGUCUUUCUCCCCAGAGUGACUCCGGCAAGGUAGAAUGACAAAUCACACUCCUUACCAUAUUCUUAAGAGUCCGAUUUCGUUUUUCAGCAACACCAUUCAUAUUAUGAGAUCAUGGCAUGGUGUAUUGUGGGACGAUUCCACAUUCCUCCAGAUAUUUGGAAAAAGACUUUGGACGCUGUCCACCUGAACCGUCAUAUAUGUCGUAAUAUUCACCGUCACUGUCAGACUUGAUUUUCUUAAGUCUUUUGUUGAGUUGAUUCUCAACUUCAACCUUAAACGAUUUGAACACAUCCAAUGAUUGUGACUUUUCAUGUAUAAUAAAUAUGUGCGCAUAUCUAGAAUAGUCGUCUAUGGAUGAUAUAAAAUAUUGUUGCCCAUUCCAAGAAGGUGUGAUAAAUGAUCCACAAAUGUUUGUAUGUAUUAAUUUUAAGACAUCUAUAGCUCUAUAUGCAACAUAUGUCUUUGUUUUGGUUUGUUUACCUUUAACGCACUCAACACAAACAUCAAAGUUUGUGAAUUCAAUGGAAUCCAAAAUUCCAUCGGACACUGGUCGCUCAACUCUAUUUUAAGAGAUGUGAACAUAUGCACUUGUGUCAUAGUGCUCCUGAAUUGUUAUCAUCAAUUUUACGCUUAGUACCACGUGAUUCCACAAUUAAGGAUUUGCCAUAUGUAGCUAUUAUGUCAAGCAAAUAUAGAUUAUUAUGACCCGUAAGUGAUCAGUUACAACAAUAUCUGAAGUGAAAUACAACUUGAACAUAUUGUUUCCAAAUGAACAAAAGUAACUUGAUUUUUCCAAAUAAGAAACUGAAAUUAAGUUUCGUCUGAAUGACGGAACCACAAAAGUGUUUUUCAAAUCCAAAUAAAAUCUGAUACACAUCAAUAAAAUAAAAUUCCUUACAGCUUCCACCUCUACCGAAUUGCCAUCUCCCACAUAGAUUUAUCUUUCAACAUCAUUUGGAUUCCGGUAGUUCAGGUAACCCUUCAUUGAAACAUUGAUGUUAGUAGUUGCUCCAGAGUCUAACCACCAAGUGUUUCCAGGUUCCUGAAGCUAAAUUGACCUCAGAACAAACCAAACCAUGACUUAUGCGAUUGGAGCGAUCCCGCUUCUCAUAAUUUUUCCUCUGUUUAGAGGUACUAGAUUCCGUAGGAGAAGAUGGUUUCUUCAUCCUUAAUGCAAGGUCAAGAUCCAUGUAGCCAGGAACAAUUUUUAUGUUUUCAUGCCAAUCCUUAAAAUUUAUCCCAUUAAGGACCGGAACCUUAUUCAUAUUAGCAUAUAUUAAAGCAAUUGUAGUUGAAAAAUAGAACAUAAUAAAUACUAUAAUAUACUUAUACAAAAAAAAAACCGAAUUAUAAAUUUGUUCAAAUAAAGACAUAACCCAUCUUAAGAUACCUAGUACAACAUCACUAUUGAGUCUUUGGACACUAAUAUUAACUGAUAGUGGUACUCUUGUUGUAACGAUUAAACAUUGAUAAUAAAAAAAUGUCAGAUAAUAAACCCCUCUUUGGAUUGAUUUAUUAUUCGCAUGUGAAACCUUAUAAUUAUAACAUGUUUACCAUCACAGACGCGUAUGAAAACUGACCAACCACCAACUGUCCUUUGGGUCAAUUGAUACUCGCAUGGAUAAGCAUACACAGCCAGAAAAAUAUUUAACAUUUUUCAUAAGUAAUUUCCACAAAAGAGAUCACUUUGGCGAUUUUUCAUUUCAACAACUCACUUAAAAGAUUAAACUUUGUAUAAAUUUAAAAACCAUAGCCAAAACUUGAACAAAAUUAUACAAAAAUUAAUGGAUGAAAUAACUAAGGGGCAUGAUCAUACAAACAAAAACGACAUGCCUGUGUUCCAAUCAGUGCUCUCUUUAUUAUGCGAAGCACAACAAAACAAUAACAAGUAAUAUAUUAUAUAUUAAUACUGAUAAUAAAAACAAAUUUAACAAAAUUAUUUAUUUAUUAUCAAAAUAACUUGUUUUAAUAAAUAAAUAAAAUUAAACAUAAACUUUAAAACAUGUGUGGCUCUAAAUUGUGUGUGACGUGUAUUAAGAAGGUUGUCAAUGCAAGGUAUGCAUUAACAGAACCUUAUUUUAAACAUUAUCGUGAAGACAUCACAUUAUCAAACGCAUAUGCAGUAAGGUGGAUCAAUAAUAUUCCAUUGGAAAAGUGGACUAGGGCAUGCGACAACGGUCAACGAUGGGGUCACAUGACAACAAAUCUUGUGGAAUCAAUGAACUUUGUCUUCAAAGGCAUCUGAAACCUACUUAUAACCGCUCUAGUGUAAGCAACUUAUUUUAGGCUAGGGACGCUGUUUUAGAUCAGACGUUCCAAAUGAAGUUUAGUGUUACAAUUUGGGCAGUUGUUCAGUGAUGCUUCAAUGAAAUUUAUUAAAGAGGAAGUUGUCAAAGCUAACACACAUGUGGUCAUGGUGUUUGACCGUACUAAAGGUUGAUACAGUGUUACUGGGUCAAUGGAUCACAAUGAAGGCAUGUCGAGGGAACACUAUCAAGUGGAACUAGAUAAAAGGUGGUGCGAUUGCGGAAAGUUUCAAGCAUUUUGUAUGUCAUGCUCCCAUCUCAUAGCGGCAUGUUCAAAGGUUCGACGGGAUCCUUCUAACUUAUUAUGUGACAUUUACAAAGUCAUAAUCAUUUGUAAUGUUUACAAAAUUAGCUUUUAGGUGGUAGCAAAGGAGGAUUACUGGUCUGCAUAUCAAGGGGACACUCUCUGACACAAAAAAAUAAUGUGAAGAAAGAAAAAGGGUCGCCCAAACAACACCCGUAUUCGAACCGAAAUGGAUACGACAAACAAAAUGGUUAGAUUGUGUAGUUCAUGUCGUCAUCCUGGUCAUAAGCACAACAAGAUAAUUUUAAUUGUAACUCUUUUACUUUAUAUUAAAAACAACAUUCAUUUCAUAUGACAAGUAGAACAAAUAUAAUGAUUAAACAACAACACAAGAAACUAAAACCAAUAAAAUAACGUCACAAAUAAAUACAACACAUAAACAAUAUAACUAUACGGUUACAACCAUCAAAACAAUUUUGUGAGAAGUAUACAUCAUCAUGUGAACGUCUCUGUCAGUUUUAAUAUUGACACAGAAACGAACUUCUCCAGUUUGGUUGAACGUCGUAUAAAGUCAUUGAAUUCUUCUGAUCCUUUCACCAUCUGCAAUGUCUUCAUCUAACCAACGGUUUAAGUACCUGUUAAGAUGUUCGAACUUAUCUACAUUCCAAAGUCGAAUCUUGAUCGGAGACUGCACUACUGAAAAGAUUAAAUCGCCACUUCUCUUGUGAAGACAUUUUAAAGAAUAUCAAAGGAGAUUGAAGAAAAAUGGAAUGAGAGAAUAAGAAGUUGUGUGAAAAAUUAUGGGAGUGUGAUGUUGUGUAUUUAUAGAUGCAGUGGUGGAGCAGUAGCCACAUGCAUUGGCGUACACGUAGAGUGGACUAUGCAUGCGCCAUUGUGUGUGGCACCUACACAUGCAUGCGCCACGGAUGUGUCAAUGCAUAUGGCGUCAAUGACUAAUAUUUUCAUUGGGUGCACCAAUGCAACUGGCACCUAGGUUAGAUGUUUUUUUGAAAGAUGAUUAUUUCGGUAAAUACUUUAAAAAAAUGGUUAUUUAAAAAUUUUAUUAAAAAAAUAGAUUAUUUAAAUAUAAAAAAAUCACCUCAAAUUAAUAAUACAAAUUAGAUUAUCAUGCACAACUUCUGACUUUUUUUCAAAAUUUAAAAAAAAAUAACUUAUUUAAUUAACAUAAUAAUUUUUAAGAAAUUAAAUAUGACCGUUUAUUAAUUAAGAAUUAAAGUGAGGGAAAUCCUCAAACCUUAAUUUAAUCUUUGAUUUGAACUCCAAUAUCUUAAGCCUUAUUCUUGAAUUUCUCAUUCCAAUUAAAUUAUUUAUAAGAUUAAACGAAUCAUCAAGAUAAGAAAAUGAUUCAUUUUUAAAUUGAUGUUAUAAUGAUAAUACGAUAUUUAUUAAUACUUUACAUACACUUUAAUAUAUUUCAGAAUAUUUAAAUUGUUCAUGAAUUGAUAAUUUUUUUUGUGUGAAUAUCAUAUUAUUUUUAUUUUUUUAGCAUGAAAGCUAAAGAAGUAAAAAGAAAAAUAUCCAAUUGUUUUUGUUGGUAGUAGCACCGGUUUGACAAGAAUUUGUUCGAUCCGGGUUUGCGUAUGCUCAUUGCUCAACUUGUUCCAAUUUGGAUUUUGGUGACAAACUUUAAUUCCCUGUCACCCACAAAAUAACACAAUAGCAGCCCCUUGCUCUGUAGAAAGGUCGUAACAUAAUUUCUCAAAUUCUUACUUUCUUUUUAGUAUUAAGAAACUCUCAAAUUUAUUUAUGGAAGAAUUACGUAAAAACCUAAGUUCGUGCCAUUAACUUGCCACCCUACAAGUCACUCUUAGAAAGAAUUUUAUAAAUAAAUAAACUUUUAUUAUUAUUAUAAAAUCUAGAUGGCUACCAAUAGUCAAUAAGAUAGCGAUGCAACAUGCAAAUUUCUAUACAAAAUGAAACAAACAAAAAAGGAGUCAAACAUGUAAUGUAUUAAUUAUAUACAUGCCACCACAAACUUUACUCAUUACAAUAUUAUUCAAUUAAAUCAAAUCAAGUGGUAGAAAUUAUCAUAAUCCACCUACCCUCUAAACAACAAAUAGAAUAGAAUAAUGCUACUCACCAUUUUUUAGCUAUAUAUAAUAGUUUCUAGCAUCAAACAUAAUACCUCAAAUUGAAACAACCUUACCUUAAACCUUCUCAACCCAACAACAACAACAAAAACAACAACAUGGGCAGUGUUGAAAUUCCAACAAAGGUUCUUACCAACACAUCUGCUCAAAUUAAGAUGCCUGUGGUUGGAAUGGGAUCAGCACCUGACUUCACAUGCAAGAAAGACACUAAAGAAGCAAUCAUCGAAGCCAUCAAACAAGGUUACAGACACUUUGAUACUGCUGCUGCUUAUGGCUCCGAACAAGCUCUUGGUGAAGCUUUG
Molecule: long non-coding RNA, 71615 nt
Filed under: Lathyrus oleraceus (garden pea)
Lineage: Eukaryota; Viridiplantae; Streptophyta; Magnoliopsida; Fabales; Fabaceae
Description: Pisum sativum (pea) long non-coding RNA (PSAT_LNC004197)
Source: RNAcentral